This 75631-nucleotide long non-coding RNA is filed under the name Triticum aestivum (bread wheat). RNAcentral describes it as "long non-coding RNA (TAES_LNC022575)". The stretch from base 3441 to 3544 matches the Rfam family "Plant small nucleolar RNA R71". Lineage: Eukaryota; Viridiplantae; Streptophyta; Magnoliopsida; Poales; Poaceae. The record is from RNAcentral.
GGCACAUAUAGCAUAAUAGAUACGUUUAGCAUUACAAACAUAUUUGUCACAGGGACAAAGCUAUCACAUGGACUGGAAUUUAAAUGUUCAUACAUCUCACUUCUACAGAGAGACACAUCAACACAAAAUAAUCACAAUAGGUAAUCAGGAUAUCACAGGAAACUAACUAACAGAAAAUUCUCAUACAUUGAAAUAGUAAAACAGAUAACAACUCCACACUAAAGUUCAACACAUAAUUCACAAGAAGUAAUCUGAGGUUUUACAAACCACUAGCUGACGAACAGGGCACAAAAUAUUGAACUAGUAUAAAAUAUAGUUGAUCAAGUCUCCACAGUAACUGUUCACAAAAUUACACAACGAGAGAGAUGCAGUUUAACAGUAGCAGAGGUUCAGCAAGGAGAGAAGGUGCAGCAGUGGUGAGAGAGCAGCAAUUGUUUUGGGGAAAGGUAGUAGCAGCCAGCAGGGAUGUGGGAGAGGAGCAGCAGAGAGGUAGAGAGCAGCAGCUGCAGCAGCGUUGAGAUAGGUGCAACGAGGGUUGAGAGAAGGGAAGCAGCAGUUGGCAAGUGGAGGUUGAGAUUCAGAGAAGGCAGAGAGCGUGCAACAAAGUUUGGGUGAAGAAGAGAGGUGGAAGAGCGGCAAGGGGGCGCUGGAGAAGAAAGAAGCAGCGGGCUAGGUUUGAGGGUGAGCACCAACAGGUUGAAGGAGGAGGAACAUCAGCGGUGAGAAAAGAGUAGCAGCAGUAGGGAGAUGGCUGUAGGCGCGGCGACGGCGGCCGAGAUGGAUGUAUGUUGCGGCGGAUGGGGUGUUGGAGGCUGUUGGUGUUGUGGACAGAGGGGUAAGGUAGGAUGGCUAGGAGGCGCACCACCACGACGGCCUGGCUGUGGCGGCGACCGGAGGUGGAGAAGGAGGGUGAGGGAAAGAGAGAAGUGCCAGGCCCGAUUUUGGAAUGGAGGCUGCUAGGGAUUUUGAUCCCCUCUUUUCAUCUGCACCUUUGCAUUUUGGCCCUCCUACUUCUCGUCUUUUGCCUCAAGUAGAUCCCCAUUCUUCUUUAGCAAUCCCCCUGGGUCUUUAAUUCUUCAUACUCAGUCCCUCCUCUUCUUAUUUCCCUUAGUCUCAUAGUCGGAAUCCUGAAGUUUAUAGUGCCUUUGCGCACUUUUCUGCAAAAGAAACAAAUGACCAGUAAAUGUUCCCUUUUUAUGAUUAUCACGCAAACAGUCAAUCAAACAUAGCAAGAAUGGAUGAAUAAAUCACAAUAGAUGGUAUAUUUGAGUGCCGAAUUAUAUAUGUCAAAUAUACUUAUCAAGUUCCCCCACACUUAAAUCUUUGCUUGUCCUCAAGCAAAGGAAUAUGACAAAGGCAAUAUAGUGAACAGUAAACUGAGUAAAGAAUGUCCUAGUAAAAUAGAUCUCCAAACGAUGCAUGCUUUGGACUUAGCUAGUGAAAAUUAAUGGUUAGGAGUGCUUCAAAGCAGUAGGAUACUAGUAGACUUGACCAUUUUAAACUUUUACAAAAAUAAAAGAAGAUCAGCCAGUUUAAGUGCGGAUUGUGCCAAAAGGUUCCUAAAGAGAGCAUGAUCCCGAGAGACACCUAUUACUAGGAACACAACAUUGUGGUAGAACCACUUAUUGGAUUUGAAGGAAGAAACAAAGAUAAUAUUUUACCGGUCUCACCAAAGGAACAUACCACCGAUCCCGAGAACAUGGUAUACACCUGGCUCAACCCUUUAUUAGUUUUUUUGUUUGUCUCCCCAAAGGAACAUACCACCGAUCCCGAGAACAUGGUAUACACCUGGUUCGACAGUUACAUUUUUAUUAUUGAUUACUGCCCAAGCUAACCUGAUUUCACAUGCCACCGAUCCAGGGAACAUGACAUGCUACUGUAGGUAGUGAGACUUAUUUAUCAUUAUUACUUAUCUUAAAUGAACAACGCAUAAGCACAAAAACAGGAAUCAUCACUUCUCCAUGUCUGGUUCACAUGCUACCGAUCCAGGGAACAUAGCAUGCUCAUCCAUAGUGGUUAGGUGAUUGCUCUCAAUGGGAACACACUUGGCACAAAUUCAGCAUCUAAACAUGGUGAUCUAGGUGUACCAUAGUAAAUUCAGAAGAUGAUUUAGUUUUCUAGUGUACUAGGGAUUUGAGCACUCAAAACUAAUAGCUUUCACUACUUUCAGCAGAGCAAACAAGGUGUAGAUCACUAGUUUACAAGGCAUUCAACAAUCAGUUCACAUAUUCUCAUCAAGCACCAUAUGUCCAAUAAAAUUCAGUAGGGCAACAUUUAAGACAUGGGUUAAGCAACCCAAAUAACAUUUGAUUUCAGCAUGUAUCAAUGGAUGAUAUACUCGGAACGGGUCAUGAAACAGCUCACCGGGCACAAUGAAGUAGCACUCGCUUGAUCACUCUCUAAGUUGCUGCUCUUCUUCUCUUGCUUUCACAAGCAUACUCCAUAUUCACUCUUCUUCAUGUGUGCCCCUUGCUUCUCCUCGUCACCAUGCUCUGAAUCCUCCGGGAUCCCAAGGAAUAUCACCUCGAACCUGGUCAACAUGUAGUGGAUCGUGCACAAGAAAAAACCUGAAAGAACACUCAACAAACAAGCCAAUACAAAUGAUAGGGACAAUGCCCUCUAAGUCAUCAAUAUAGUAUCCUAUCACAUAAGCAUAUCUAUUGAGCAUAUCAUACACAGGUAUCAUCAAUUCAUAUGGUGCAUAGGUAAUAUCAACAAUAUGAGAUAACUUGUCGAGAAAGCUGAGAUAAUACCUGAGAUGAUAUGAGAUAAGUUUUAGGACUACUUUAGUGGAAGAUACUAUGGAAGGCAUGGUAGUAGAAACUUCCACCGGACUCGUGUCAACAAGUGAAAUAUUAGAGCUUGGCUUCUUGACAUCUAGAGCAACCUUGUCAUAAUCAACAAUGAAGGUUUCCAUCUCAGGCUCAAGUGUUGAGGAAUCGAUGUGGCUAAUGUCAUCAAAGGUGAACUUUUCCCUGUCUGGUUCAGGCAGGACAUGAUCUAUAUCAACCAGAGGUGACUCCUCAAUAUCAAAGGUAACUAACUGCAGCUCUGGUUCAUCCACAGAAGAAUCAUCACAAUGCAAAACUGAAUCUCGAGCACUAGUAUCCAUAUGAUCUACAAUGUGUGUGUCAACUAGGCUGGUGUUAUCACCGUCAAAGAUAAUCCAUGAAAGCUCAAUCUUGUCACACACAGAAACUGGUUCUGGAUUUUGUGUAAGACAUUCUUGCUGAGGUGAAGUGUAGUGACAGCAAACCAACAAAUCUGAGCUGGGUCUCUCACUGUACCACUGAAGUUGGUGGAAAGCUAUGCUCUCAAUCAGCAAAAAGGCAUCAUCAAGUGUCUUGUUUGUAAUAGCUCCACCCGCUGCCAUAUCGACAUAAGCUCGAGUGUCCAAAGUCAACCCUCUAUAGAAUAUCUGGAGCUCUAACCAUCUCUCGAGCCCAGGAUUAGGACAUCUCCUGAAUAAGGCUUUGUAUCUCUCCCAAGCAUCAUACAAGCUCUCACCUUCACGCUGGACGAAAUUGAAAAUCUCAUCUCGAAUUGCAGACUGCUUGUGUAGUGGGGAAUAUUUAUCCAAGAAAGCUCGUGAUAUCUCGUUCCAACCGAAUGAUCUUGAUGGCAAGGAUCGAUACCAAGCACGAGCAUCAUCUCGGAGAGAGAAUGUGAAUAGCAUGCACUUGAUAACAUCUUGAAGAACUCCAUCAUACUUUAUUGUAUCUGAAUACUCCAGGACUCGGAGCAAGUGCUCGUAAGGACCUUCAGUAGGCAACCCUCCAAACUGACGUUGUUGAACCAAAGCAAUAAGACCAGGCUUUAGCUCAAAAAUUUCCGCCUCAAAAGACGGCCAAAGUGGCCCUGUGAAAUAGCAUUGGCUGCUUGGCAUCCAAACAUCACGAAGCAUCGCCAUAUCUCCACCAAGUGUAACUAUCAAUCAACCUACAAAUAGUUCAGAUUUCCUACGCACACUCAUAAGUAGUAAAUACCAGUCAGAAUGUUAGUAUCCUAAUAAGCUGAAGCAACAACAAGGAAAAAAUAUAAAAGAAACACAGAAAAAGAAAUACACGAUGAAUUAAACACGAAACUAAAAUAAACCUAGUCUAUAGCUAACAUAAUCGCUCGACGCUAGUCCUCGGUAACAGCGCCAAAAUGAUCGAGUGUAUGUACAGUGGGGUGUUUCGCCCAAAUCUGCAAGUGUGUCGUGUUCUCCACAAAGACUAGGCAAAUCAGCGGCUAUGCUCGGCUAAAUCUAGAUAACACAUUUCAAAUGAUGAUUGCAGGGAAAUAAACCUAAAAUAUCAUAUUUUAAAAAAAAACGUCGACAAAUAAGAUGCAAACAAGCAUAGGGGGAAUAAAAAUGCAAUCACUGUAUUUUUGGUAUUUUUAUUAGGCUUGAGAAAUUAGAAACUAACAUAAAAGGAAACGGCAGGACAUGAACACAUAUAGCAUAAUAGAUACGUUUUGCAUUACAAACAUAUUUGUCACAGGAACAAAGUGUAGGAUCGAAAGUAUGUCUAGAGGGGGGUGAUUAGACUACUUGACCAAAUAAAAACAUAUCCUUUUCCCAAUUUUAGUUCUUGGCAGAUUUUAGCAACUAUGGACAAGUCAAGCAAUCUUAACACAAUUCAAGCAAGCAUGCAAAGAGUAUAUGAGCAGCGGAAAGUAAAGCAUGCAACUUGCAAUAAUGUAAAGGGAAGGUUUUGGAGAGUGCAAACGCAAUAGGUGUCGUGGUUCUAAGCCUGACAGUAGAAAGGAGGGUAGAUAUGGAGAGGCAAGAUCUUAGCUAUGGCGAAGAUGUACACACGAGAUUUACGAGUUCAGGCCCUUCUCUGAGGAAGUAAUAGCCCUACGUCUCGGAGCCCGGAGGCGGUCAAUUGGAUUAUGUGUGUUGUAUUACAGAGAGUGCGAACCCUUGUGCCAGAGGAGGGGGGUGGCUUAUAUAGAGUGCGCCAGGACCCCAGCCUGCCUCCAUUACAAGGGAACUAAUGUACAUAAAGUAAGGGGCAUUACUGGUAACGCCAGCAUUAAGUACUCUUAAUGCCCAUGAAGACUAAGGAGUGAAUAUCUGGCCGUUGUGCGUCGUACCGACUCCUGGUAUUCGACGUGGUCGAGUGGUCUCCAUAUGGUCGAGUGAAGGUAGAGAAUUCUGGUCGAGUGAUUGCAUCGUCGAGUGGAUUCUUGGUCUUCUCAUUUUUCUGGGGUAGUGACCUUGGGUAGGGUGUGUAGGUCAGGCCUAUGACCCUACCCCAGGUCUGUAUCCUCAUUAGUAGCCCCCGAAUGGAUUAAUGUGUGAGUGAAAUGUAGGUUGAAAUUGAACCUGUUCCGAGCUUCGGGACUUCGAGAGUGCUUUCUGUAAGUCUGAACGGCUACGUUGAUAUUUGAUGUCAACUCAGUUUCCUUGAUCCAUUCAGCGGACAAUCGAAUGAACUGUGGGUCUCGUGUGCCGAGCGUUAUGUUGGAGCACGGGAUCUUUGGGUGCGAUUGUCUGUAGCGUAUCCCGGAUUUCACGGGAUACUAAAUUUCAGGGGAGCGCGCCAAACAGGGGAGGCCGAAGCGGGCGGAGCGGAUAAGCAGUGAUUCCUCGAUUCCCGCGCCGCCUUUUUCACCAUGUACGUUGCGCGCGACUGUUGCGGGAUUUGACGGGAUCACCUGGCCCCACUCGUCAUUCUUAUAAGGCGACCGGAUCGAGGCGUCUACACUAUGUGCAUUUUCUCUUCUUCCUCCUUUCUCUGUUUCUCCGCCGCACCUUACCCUUCCACUCCGACACCGCUGCCCCAUCGCUAUGGUGAAGGACAAGACGGUGGCGCUAGAGCACGCAAAGAAGACGAAGGAUGUGGCAAAGGGCAAGAAGCAGCAGCGCAGGUUGUCGCCGCGCGCGGGGCUGCCGCCGGGCUGGAUCCAGGGAGAUUGGAUCCGGUCUUUGAUUCAGCAAGCGGACCUGGACGAGCUAAUGGAGUCGGGGCUGAUCGCCAAGGGAGCGGCGAGGCUGUCGGAUGGGGAGAUGAGUCCUCAACCUCGACUGGGUGAGUGCGUUCUGCUCGCCACCCACGUCGACUGUGGCUUUUCGCUUCCCCCGCAUCCUUUCUUUCGGGGGUUUCUGAACUUUUUCGGCGCUCAACUCCACCAUUUCUCUCCCAACACCAUUACGCAUUUAGCUGCUUUCGUGUCGAUGUGCGAGAACUUCUUGGGGUGUCAAUUGCACUGGGGUCUUUUCAAACACAUCUUCACUAUUCGUUCCCAGUCGGUAAAAAAGGCCAAGUCGAGUGACUCAAAAACCCAUGUCAUCCAGAUGUGUGGGGGUUUAGGCAUCCAAAAGAGAAAAGGGAGUGCCUUUCCUACCAUGACCCUUCCCGACUCCGUUAGAGGCUGGCAGUCGACCUGGUUCUAUUGCCAAGAUGUAGCGACCCCUGGACCGGUCUCCCCCACUUCUCGUUUGACCGAGUCCAGACUCCUGCUCCACUGAAAGUGACUGCUGGUGAGAUCAUGGAGACGAGGAUGUUGGUGGACAGGGUGGUUCAGCUUAUCAACGAUGGCGUCACGGGUUUGGAUCUGUUGGAGGUGUUCCUUAGUCGACGCAUCCAGCCCCUCCAGGACCGCGAUCACCCGAUGUGGCUGUAUUCCGGGCCGGACGACACCGCUCGGACCCAUCCGGAAGAAGUUCCGCCUGCAACAGUAGCCUCGUGGCUGAGGAGCAUCACGGGCAAUCAGGAAAACCCCAGAGGGUCUAGGCGAGGCAUUCCCUUCAGCAGCGCAAAUCCACCCGACAAGAUUCUCUUUUUGUUUCGACUGUUUCUUAUUCAUGCUCCAACUGCACUUGAUAUUGACCGACCCUCGUUUGACCAAUUUGCUCUGUAGGUGUUCACUAAGAUGCAUUAGAUGCCCAAUGGUGAACAGGCCUUGGAACAGGCCCAGGAGGGGGAGGAAAGCGCGGAGGAUAGUGUUGAGUGGGAUUCUCAGGGAAGUGACGAGGAGGAGGAGAGCAAGGAAUCAGACAAGGAGAAGGAAGUCGACUCGCUGCCACAUGCCGAACGUCGAUCCAAACAGUAGUAUGAUCCGGUCGGCAGGCGUGGGAAAGGCGUGGGUCCGAGUGUCGGUACUCAGAAACGCACUCUGACGUCGACUCCAGAGCCGGCAGAGAAGGUGGCCAAGCAGCCUAAAGUUGCUCCCCACCAAGACUCUGAAGACCUUGCCACGAAUCAAGAUGGACAUCCCCGUUGCCUCAGGGUGAGUAUCUUGUUUAAGUUUCUAUAAGUCGACUGAAACUUUUCUUGAUCUGACCGACCAACUCUUGUGUCCUUUCAGCCCUAGCUCUGCUGCCACCGACAUGGAUGUUGACAAAGCGCCAGGAGACGAAGAAGCCACCUCACGAGCUGGUAAGUUCAUUAACUCAGCUCUGCUUAACCGAGUGGGCGGUCGAUUGACUGAAAAUUUGAUACUUCUCUUCUUAUGUAGCUCCGCAAGACGUCAUUGUGCUUCCUGACAAUGAAGAAGAAGAGGCGCCUCUACGGGAGAGGAGGAAGAAGAGUGGAGGUUCGAGCAGAAGGAGGCUUGAAGUCCAAAUCCCUCAGUCAACACCGGUGCAGUCGACACCGGCGCCCGAGGCGAUGGUUCGGGCUAAUGUCACGUUUGCUAACCCGUUGACGACUGAUCGUCCGUCGGGGUCGACUGCACAAAUGCCCGUUGCACCGGUGCAACUCCACUCAUCUGAUCCAGCAACUGCUUCGACCCCUCGGGAGCCAUCCCUCUUUGCUACAUAUCAAACUCCGGAUGACUCACCGAGUGCCGCUAGGGAAGCUCUUCGCUAGGCGAAUCUUGUCAUGGAGCAGGUGAAAGUGAUGCAUGAAGCUAGUCAGAUAGCCUACAAUGCCAGCACUGCCCUUCAGACGAAUGUCCAGGUCAGUAGAAUUCUGACCGAAUCUUUGAGCGUUACUUUAUAUCUAAUCAACCACUGGGUGUUCUUUCGAUUGAAACUCAGGAGAUCUUCAAUUUUGCACUUUCCGAAUCAGUGGGGGCACGUCGAGUGCACCCACUGGGUGUAGUCCCCGAGACCACGGUCGACUGCUGGCAGUCGACUGGGGUCUGAAUUUUUUUUGAACUCAUGUUGAAUAUAGAUCUGAUCCAGUGGGGGCAUGCUAAGUGCAUCCACUGGGUGUAGUCCCCGAGACUAUUGUUGAAUAUUUGAUUCAGCAGUAGUCUUAGAGUAAAUCUAUUCCUUCACAGUCCCUUAUUUCUGUCGACUGAAAUGCUUGUCUUUCUGACUGCAGAGGUCUUGUGAUCUUGGAGCUCGGCUCACCGAGUUGAAGAAGAAGCAUAUCAGCGUUGAACUUGACCUCGAAUUGGCGAAGAAGAACCUGAAGACUGCCUAACAAGAAACGACCAUCAUGGGAGGUAACCAUUCGACUGUUUCGUCUGCCUGGUGGACUUUCCGCGGCCUUUCUUUCAGUCUCUUUGAACCAAGUGACUUCACAUAAGCAGAUGUGCGUAGUGAAAAUCGCCAACUCCAGUCUCAUCUGAAGAGUGUUGUUUCUUUAGAGAGGAUGAAGGAAGCUUUGGAGCAAAAGGAUCUGGAUCUGGCGGCUGCUCAGAAGGAGGCACGCGAGAAGACGAAGCUCGCGGACCAGAAGCUGGCUUCAGUUGGCAAGUUGGAGGAUGAGAACGCGAAAUUGAAGACUGUUGUCUUGGACGCCAAUCGUGAAGUCGAACAACUGAGGAAGGACAAGGAGAAUCUGACCGCUAAAGUUGAUGGUGUCAUGACCAAGACGGGCAAGCUGGAGUCUCAUUUGGAACAACUUGCGGCGAAACUCGUCUCAAAGCUUGAAGGUAUGACUGUUCCAUUAAAUAACUGUUGUCAACUGAAAUUUAUGAUAUUGUCGACUCAUUGCUUGUUGUGAUGGACCAGAACUCUGUCAGGACUUUGAAGCCGAGACUGGACGGGUCGAGACAGGUCUCGACCCCAUCAAUUGUCCUAUGAAAGAUGAAGUCGCGAUGAACUUGCUUCGAUUGGAAUCAUGCUUGGACGAUGCAGUCGACUAUCUGGCUCGACUGAAGGCGGCGAUGGCUCAAGUGGACACCGAACUCUGGCCUCAGGCGGCAAUGUCUCAAGACCUCGAGUCUUUAAUGACUCGACUAGAUCAGAUUCCAGGUCGAGUGCAAGAGUGGAAGAUAUCUGCUACCCGUUGUGGUACUGACGUCGCCUUGUCUUUGGUCCGAGUGCACUACAAAGAAGCUAAGGAUGACAAGCUGGCAGCUCUCAAAGUGGCAAACACUAAGGAGCAUUCCUUCUAGGAUUUCAUGGACACUUUCCUCGAGGCAGCCACUCGCAUCACCGACAGUAUCGACCUGGACAGCUUCUGCGACCCGGCCAGUCCUUCUCCUGCCAAGUGAUUAAAAAACACACUAUGCCACCGCUUUUAUUUGCCUCAGAAUGCCGAGUGGAUUUGUAACCGUUAAAACUCCUUCGGGCCUGAUACCUGAGCACUUUAUUCUGUGGUUAAGAACCUCUGAAUUUAUCAUCUCACAUAUUGCGUCUACCUUCGACUGAAACCUGCUUUUCUCUCGAACUGCUGUUUGUUUGCUUAAUGCAGCUUCUGGAAGAGGAGGGCCAGACGCCUGAUCAAUGAUUUUGCAUUCCAGUCGGCCGACCAGGUGAUCUUUGAGUAGCAUUGAUCAGCUCAUCAGCAAGGCACUCAGCAAUGGUCUUAACGUUCCAAUCGACCGAUCGGGUGAUCCUUGAGUAGAAUUGAUCAGCUCAUCAGCAAGGCACUCAGCAAUGGUCUUGACGUUCCAGGCGACCGAUUGGGUGAUCCUUGAGAAGCAUUUAUCAGCUCAUCAGCAAGGCACUCAACAAUGGUCUUGACGUUCCAGUUGACCGAUCGGGUGAUCCUUGAGUAGCAUUGAUCAGCUCAUCAGCAAGGCACUCAGCAAUGGUCUUGACAUUCCAGUCGACCACCUGGUAAGGUUUUUCAAACUUAGGCGAGUACGGGAUUGCAGCUAAGCCCCCGAGUGAGAGGAUUGCUCCCCACUUGACGGAAUUUUUCGAACUUAGGCGAGUACGGGACUGCAACUAAGCCCCCGAGUGGGAGAUUUGCUCACCACUCGGUAGGAUUUUAACAAACUUAGGCGAGUGCGAGACUGCAGCUAAGCCUUCGAGUGGGAGGUUUGCUCACCACUCGGUAGGAUUUUUUCAAAAUUAGGCGAGUGCUGGGCUGCAGCUAAGCCCCCGAGUGGAAGGUUUGCUCACCACUCGGUAGAAUUUUUUCAAACUUAGGCGAGUGCGAGACUGCAGCUAAGCCUCCAAGUGGAAGGUUUGCUCACCACUCGGUAGGAUUUUUUCGAACUUAGGCAAGCACUGGGCUGCAGCUAAGCUCCCGAGUGGGAGGUUCACUCACCACUCGGUAGGAUUUUUUCAAACUUAGGCGAGCGUGAGACUGUAGCUAAGCCUCCGAGUGGGAGGCGGACUCACCACUCGGUAGGAACUUUUAAACUUAGGUGAGUGCGAGACUGCAGCUAAGCCUCUGAGUGGGAGGCGGACUUCUCACUCGGUAGGAUUUUACAAACUUAGGCGAGUACUGGGCUGCAGCUAAGCCCCCGAGUGGGAGGCGGACUCACCACUCGGUAGGAUUUUACAAACUUAGGCGAGCACUGGGCUGCAGCUAAGCCCCCGAGUGGGAGGCGGACUCACCACUCGGUAGGAUUUUACAAACUUAGGCGAGUACUGGGCUGUAGCUAAGCCCCGAGUNNNNNNNNNNNNNNNNNNNNNNNNNNNNNNNNNNNNNNNNNNNNNNNNNNNNNNNNNNNNNNNNNNNNNNNNNNNNNNNNNNNNNNNNNNNNNNNNNNNNNNNNNNNNNNNNNNNNNNNNNNNNNNNNNNNNNNNNNNNNNNNNNNNNNNNNNNNNNNNNNNNNNNNNNNNNNNNNNNNNNNNNNNNNNNNNNNNNNNNNNNNNNNNNNNNNNNNNNNNNNNNNNNNNNNNNNNNNNNNNNNNNNNNNNNNNNNNNNNNNNNNNNNNNNNNNNNNNNNNNNNNNNNNNNNNNNNNNNNNNNNNNNNNNNNNNNNNNNNNNNNNNNNNNNNNNNNNNNNNNNNNNNNNNNNNNNNNNNNNNNNNNNNNNNNNNNNNNNNNNNNNNNNNNNNNNNNNNNNNNNNNNNNNNNNNNNNNNNNNNNNNNNNNNNNNNNNNNNNNNNNNNNNNNNNNNNNNNNNNNNNNNNNNNNNNNNNNNNNNNNNNNNNNNNNNNNNNNNNNNNNNNNUUAGGCGAGCACUAGGCUGUAGCUAAGCCCCCGAGUGGGAGGCGGACUCACCACUCGGUAGGAUUUUACAAACUUAGGCGAGCACUGGGCUGUAGCUAAGCCCCCGAGUGGGAGGCGGACUCACCACUCAAUAGGAUUUUAUAAACUUAGGCGAGCACCGGACUGCAGCUAAGCCCCCGAGUGGGAGGCGGACUCACCACUCGGUAGGAUUUUAUAAACUUAGGUGAGCACUGGGCUGCAGCUAAGCCCCCGAGUGGGAGGCGGACUCACCACUCGGUAGGAUUUUAUAAACUUAGGCGAGCACUGGGCUGCAGCUAAGCCCCCGAGUGGGAGGCGGACCCCCACUCGGUAGGAUUUUAUAACUCUAUCUUAGGCAAAACAGGUUCGCUGCUAAGGCAAUGCAUACAAAAGAAAUAAAAUACAAUAAUUCAGAAGACUGUAAAAUGAUGUCUUUUGAUAAAAAAACUAAGAGGUACUUCUUAUUUCAUGUCAUUAGUCUAAAUACUUAAGAGUAAAAAGGACGGAGCAGUUCCACGUUCCAGGCGCGUGGUUCAUCUUUGUUGUGCUCGACAUUGAAGAGACGAUAUGCUCCGUUGUGGAGCACCUUGGUGAUGACGAAAGGGCCUUCCCAAGUGGGGCGAGCUUGUGUGGCUUCUAUUGAUCCACUCGGAGGACUAAGUCCCCUUCCUGGAAUGCCCGACCCCUUACGUUCCUGGCAUGGAAUCGAUGCAUGUCUUGAUGAUAAAUGGUCGACCGGAUCAAGACCAUCUCUCUUUCUUCCUCCAGGAGGUCGACUGCAUCUUGUCGAGCUUGCUCUGCUUCCUCCUCUGAGAAGAGUUCGACUCGUGGAGCGUUGUGGAGCAAAUCGCUCAACAAAACGGCUUCGGCCCCGUAGACUAAGAAGAAUGGAGUCCGGCCAUUCGACCGAUUGGGAGUUGUCCUCAGCCCCCACAGCACUGACGGGAGCUCAUCAAGCCAAGAUCUAGCCGCGUGCUUGAGGUCACGCAUUAACCGAGGCUUCAACCCUUUGAGAAUCAAUCCAUUCUCCCGUCAGCCUGUCCAUUCGACUAAGGGUGGGCAACCAAAGCAUAAUCGACCCUCGUGCCUUGGGAAACGCAAAAGGUUCUGAACUCGUCGGAAUCGAAGUUCGACCCGUUAUCCGUGAUGAUGCUGUGUGGUACACCAUAUCUGAAUAUCAACUCUCUAAUAAAACUCACAGCAGUGCUUGCUUCAAGAUUUUUGAUGGGCUUGGCUUCGAUCCACUAAGUAAACUUGUCGACUGCUACCAGCACAUGGGUAAAUCUGCUCCUGCCGGUCCUCAGAGGUCCAACCAUGUCCAAUCCCCAGAUGGCAAAAGGCCAGACGAGUGGAAUAGUCUUUAGAGCUGGUGCGGGUUUGUGUGACAUAUUGGAGUAAAACUGACACCCCUCACACUUAUCCACUAUCUCCUUUACCAUCUCGUUGGCGUACGGCCAAUAAAAUCCGGCUCGGUAUGCUUUGGCCACGAUGGUCCGAAAGGACGCAUGGUGACCACAGGUCCCCGAGUGAAUAUCAUUGAGGAUCAUUCGGCCUUCUUCUGGCAUGAUGCACUUCUGGCAAACCCCAAUCGCACUUUCUCUGAACAACUAUCCUUUUAUCACAGUAAAGUCUUUAGAUCGUCGGACGAUCUGUCGAGCUCCUUCCUCAUCCUCUGGGAGUUCCUUCCUAAGAAUGUAAGCGAUGUAUGGCACUGUCCAGUCGGGGGUGAUGACCAAGACCUCCAUGACUAAGUCGACCACGGUUGGGAUUUCAACUUCAGUCGGAUCCGUGGCGCUCUUGGGCUGCGGUGACUCCUCGAUGAAAGGAUCUUCCUGAACUGAAGGUGAAUGAAUAUGUUCCAGAAACACGUUUCGGGGAAUAGCCUCUCUCUUUGAGCCUAUCUUGGCUAAUUCAUCCGCAGCUUGAUUUUUUAGUCGGGGAAUAUGGUGGAGCUCCAACCCUUCAAACAUCUUCUCCAACUUUCUCAUUACGUUGCAGUAACCAGUCAUGGCUGGGCUCCUGACAUCCCAUUCCUUCAUCACUUGGUUGACCACCAAAUCCGAGUCGCCGUAGACCAUAAGGCGACGGACGCCGAGUGAUAUGGCCAUAUGCAACCCGUAUAGGAGUGCUUCGUAUUCGGCUUCGUUAUUGGAGGAAUCAAAAUGAAUCUAGAGAACAUAACUCAGCCUGUCUCCGCGGGGGGAUACCAAAACUACUCCAGCGCCUGAACCAUUCAACAUCUUGGAGCCAUCAAAGAACAUAGUCCAAUGCUCCGAGUGAACUUGAGUCGGCAAUUGCUGCUCAAUCCACUCGGCAAGGAAAUCUGCAAUUGCUUGGGACUUGAUGGCCUUCUUUGCCUCGAACUUGAUAUCUAAUGGAAGGAGUUCGAUCACCCAUUUUGCUACUCGACCAGUGGCGUCUCUGUUAUUCAGAAUUUCAGAUAGUGGCGCAUCGCUGACGACUGUAAUGGAGUGGUCAGAGAAAUAGUGCGCAACUUUCUUCAUGGUCAUGUAUAUUCCAUAGACAAGCUUCUGAUAAUGUGGGUAUCGUUGCUUGGAUGGAGUCAAAACUUCAGAGAGAUAAUAGAUCGGGCGUUGAACCUUGUAAGCUUUUCCUUCUUCUUCUCGCUCGAUCGUGAGUACUGUGCUGACAACUUGUCCAGUGGCUGCAAUAUAAAGCAGUAAAGGCUCUUUGCUGAUUGGUGCAGCGAGCACCGGCUGGGUGGAAAGAAGGGUUUUGAGCUCUGCAAACGCUGUGUCAGCUUCAUUAGUCCACUCGAACUUAUCAGACUUCUUCAUCAGUCGGUAAAGAGGCAAGGCCUUUUCACUGAGACGAGAAAUGAAUCGACUCAGGGCGGCCAGACAACCAGUUUGCUUCUGAACGUCAUGCACUCGCACGAGGCAUUUCAUUCGGAGGAUGGUAUCAACUUUUUCUGGAUUGGCGUCGAUCCCUCGUUCGGAAACAAGAAAACCAAGUAACUUUCCUCCUGGAACUCCGAACAUGCAUUUUGACAGAUUAAGCUUGAUAUUGUACCUCCGCAGGUUGGCAAAGGUUUCUGCAAGGUCAGUCAAUAGGUCGGAACCUUUGCGAGACUUGACCACAAUGUCGUCCAUGUACGCUUCCACAUUCCGACUGAUUUGAGUGAGCAGGCACUUCUGAAUCAUUCUCAUGAAUGUGGCUCUGGCAUUUUUCAAACCGAAAGGCAUGGUAACAUAGCAAAAGCACCCGAAUGGGGUGAUGAAGGCUGUUUUUAUUCCAUCGGGACCAUACAGUCAGAUCUGAUGGUAUCCGGAAUACGCAUCUAGGAAAGACAAGCGCUCGCAUCCCACAGUCGAGUCGACAAUCUGAUCGAUGCGAGGGAGAGGGAAGUGAUCUUUCGGACAGGCCCGAUUGAUAUGCUUGAAAUCGAUGCACAUACGAAGUGAAUCAUCCUUCUUAGAAACCAUGACUACGUUGGCUAACCACUCGGAGUGGUAGAUUUCACAGAUGAACUUUGCUGCCAAUAGUCGAGCCACUUCUUCGCCAAUUGCUUUCCUCUUCUGCACGGCGGACCGUCGAAGGUGCUCUUUGAUGGGUUUUACUUUGGGGUCGACACGCAAACGGUGCUCAGCCAGUCCCCUGGGUAUACCUGGCAUGUCAGAGGGUUUCCAUGCGAAGAUGUCCAGUUCUCACGGAGGAACUGGAUGAGCGCUUCUUCCUAUUUGCUGUCGAGCGUCAUUGAAAUAUGAGUCUGCGCAGCGUUGGGAUUGGUCAGUUGAAUAUGAAUAGGCUUCAUUUCACCAGUCGAGUGAAAUGCAGAGUCUGUGGCAGGCUUCUUGGCUCGGAGCAAAUCACUCGGAUCUGCACUCUUCUGAUACUCUUGCAAUUCGACUGCUGCCAUGUGAGCAUCGGCGAUUUUGGAACCUUUCUAAAAGCAUUCCUCCGCCUUCUGCCGAUUGCCAGUUACUGUGAUCACACCUUUGGGUCCAGGCAUCUUCAGCUUGAGAUACACAUAACAUGGUCGAGCCAUAAAAUGUGCAUAGGCUGGCCUACCCAAAAUGGCAUGAUAGGUGCUCUGGAAAUCCAUGACUUCAAAUGUCAACUUCUCCUUACGAUAAUGCUUGGAAUCACCGAAAACCACGUCGAGGGCGAUCUGGCCGAGUGAUUCGGCUUUCUUUCCAGGGAUAACACCGUGGAAACUCAUGUUGCUCUCACUCAGUUUGGACAUCGAGAUGCCCAUCCCCUUCAAGGUUUCAACAUAAAGGUUGUUCAGGCCUCUGCCACCAUCCAUCAGUACUUUGGUCAGUCGAGUGCCCCCAACCACAGGGUCGACCACCAGUGCUUGCCUCCGAGGGGUGGCCACACGAGUGGGAUGGUCCGACUGGUCGAAUGUGAUGGCCGUCUGAGACCAUCUCAGAUAGGUGGUCUUCUCCGCAGGGGCGAACAUGUUCACUUCUCUGUUGAUGACCUUCAAUCGACUCUUGCUUUCAACAUCAGCAAAAAUCAUCAGGGUGGAAUUGACUUUGGGAUAACCAUCAUCUUCCUCUUCAUCUUCCUCCUUCUCCGACUCAUUCUCCUUCUCAUUGGGCGGUUUCUCUCGGAACUGCUGGAUUAGGAGUCGACACUGCUGAGUGGUAUGCUUCGGGUAAAUCAGAUUACCUUCCUCAUCUUUCUUUGUGUGGAUGUGGCAUGGCAAAUCCAGCACAUCAUUCCCUUCUUUAUCCUUCACCUUCUUUGGGGGCCAGGGCCCCUUAGGUUUUCCCUUAAACUUUCCUUGAUUCACUGCUGCGAUCUCUCCAGGAGCUGCUGGCUCGGCUUUACGCUUAUGCUUCCGACUGGAGUUACCUCCACCAGCGUCUUGGCUGACCGGUUUGCUCUUCCCGCUACGGAGUCGAUCCUCUUCUUCUCCAUUAGUGUACCGGGUGGCUAUCUCCAUCAUCUGAGCCAGAGUCAUAUCUCCAGUCUGACCGAAUUUCAAGACCAACUCCCUGUACUUGACGCCUUCCUUGAAGGCACAUACAACUUGAUGCUCUAAAACAUUCUCGACGGUGUGAUGUGAUGUCUACUACACAACCUUCUUCUUGUAGACGUUGUUGGGCCUGCAAGUGCACAGGUUUGUAGGACAGUAGCAAAUUUCCCUCAAGUGGAUGACCUAAGGUUUAUCAAUCUGUAGGAGGUGUAGGAUGAAGAUGGUCUCUCUCAAACAACCCUGCAACCAAAUAACAAAGAGUCUCUUGUGUCCCCAACACACCCAAUACAAUGGUAAAUUGUAUAGGUGCACUAGUUCGGCGAAGAGAUGGUGAUACAAGUGCAAUAUGGAUGGUAGAUAAAGGUAUUUGUAAUGUGAAAUAAUAAAAACAGAAAGGUAACAAGUGGUAAAAGUGAGCGUACACGGUAUUGCAAUGACAGGAAACAAGGCCUAGGGUUCAUACUUUCACUAGUGCAAGUUCUCUCAACAAUAAUAACAUAGAUAGAUCAUAUAACAAUCCCUCAACAUGCAACAAAGAGUCACUCCAAAGCAACUAAUAGCGGAGAACGAACGAAGAGAUUAUGGUAGGGUAUGAAACCACCUCAAAGUUAUUAUUUUGGAUCAAUCUAUUCAAGAGUUUGUACUAGAAUAACACCUUAAGACACAAAUCAACCAAAACCAUAAUGUCACCUAGAUACUCCAUUGUCACCUCAAGUAUCCGUGGGCAUGAUUAUACGAUAUGCAUCACACAAUCUCAGAUUCAUCUAUUCAACCAACACAAAGUACUUCAAAGAGUGUCCCAAAGUUUCUACCGGAGAGUCAAGAACGUGUGCCAACCCCUAUGCAUAGGUUCAUGGGUGGAACCCGCAAGUUGGUCACCAAAACAUACAUCAAGAGGCACAUGAUAUCCCAUUGUCACCACAGAUAAGCACGUCAAGACAUACAUCAAGUGUUCUCAUAAAAGACUCAAUCCGAUAAGAUAACUUCAAAGGGGAAAACUCAAUUCAUCACAAGAGAGUAGAGGGGGAGAAACAUCAUAAGAUCCUACUACGAUAGCAAAGCUCGGGAUACAUCAAGAUCGUGUCAUAGAGGGAACAUGAGAGAGAACAUGAGAGAGAGAGAGAGAGAGAGAGAUCAGACACAUAGCUACUUGUACAUACCCUCAGCCUCGAGGGUGAACUACUCCCUCCUCGUCAUGGAGAGCGCCAGGAUGAUGAAGAUGGCCACCGGUGAAAGAUUCCCCCUCCGGCAGGGUGUCGGGAAGGGCUCCCGAGAGGUUUUUGGUGUCUACAGAGGCUUGCGGUAGCGGAACUUCCAAUCUAGGUUAAUUCCCGAAAGUUUCAGUAUUUAUAGGAAUUAUUGGCGUUGGUUUCACGUCAGGGGGGUCUCCGGGCCGUCCACGAGACAGGGGGGCGCCCCCCCCUAGGGGCGUGCCCUCCUAUCUCGUGGGCAGCCUGGAGCUCUUCUGGCCCAACUCUGAUGCUCUAGUCUUCUUUUGGUCCAUAAAAAAUCCUCAAAAAUUGGCACAUCAUUUGGACUCCGUUUGAUAUUCCUUUUCUUCGAAAUACUGAAAUAGGCAAUAAAACAACAAUAUGGGUUGGGCCUCCGGUUAAUAGGUUAGUACCAAAAGUAAUAUAAAAGUGUAUAAUAAAGCCCAUAAUCAUUCAAAACAGAUAAUAUAAUAGCAUGGAACAAUCAAAAAUUAUUGAUACGUUGGAGACGUAUCAAGCAUCCCCAAGCAUAAUUCCUGCUCGUCCUCGAGUAGGUAAAUGAUAAAAACAGAAUUUUUGAUGUGGAAUGCUACCUAGCAUGAUUCUCAAAGUAUUUUUCUUUGUUGUGGCAUGAAUGUUCAGAUCCAAAUAAUACAAAAUAAAAUUUCAUUGACAUAAGAAAUAGUAAUACUUCAAGCAUACUAAGCAAAGUAAUCAUGUCUUCCCAAAAUAACAUGGCCAAAGAAAGUUAUCCCUACAAAAUCAUAUAGUCUGGCUAUGCUUCAUCUUCAUCACACAAAGUAUUUAAUCAUGCACAACCCCGAUGACGAGCCAAGCAAUUGUUUCAUACUUUAAUAAUCUCAAACUUUUUCAACUUUCACGCAAUACAUGAGCGUGAGCCAUGGACACAACGCUAUAUGUGGUAUAGAAAGGUGGUUGUGGAGAAGACAAAAAGGAAGAAGAUAGUCUCACAUCAACUAGGCUUAUCAACGGGAUAUGGAGAUGCCCAUUAAUAGAUAUCAAUGUGAGUGAGUAGGGAUUGCCAUGCAACGGAUGCACUAGAGCUAUAAAUAUAUGAAAGCUCAACAAAGGAAAACUAGUGGGGUGCAUCCAACUUGCUUGCUCACGAAGACCUAGGGCACUUUUGUGGAAGUCCAUCAUUGGAAUAUACAAGCCAAGUUCUAUAAUGAAACAUUCCCACUAGUAAAUGAAAGUGACAACAUAUGAGACUCUCUAUCAUGAAGAUCAUGGUGCUAUUUUGAAGCACAAGUGUGGAAAAAGAGAUAGUAGCAUUGUCCCUUCUCUCUUUUUCUCUCUUUUUUUUCAUUGGGUCUUUUCUCUUUUUUUUAUGGCCACCUUUUUUUAUAUUUCGUCCGGAGUCUCAUCCCGACUUAUGGGGGAAUCAUAGUCUCCAUCAUCCUUUCCUCACUGGGACAAUGCUCUAAUAAUGAUGAUCAUCACACUUUUAUUUUUCUUACAACUCAACAAUUACAACUCGAUACUUAGAACAAAAUAUGACUCUAUAUGAAUGCCUCCAGCGGUGUACCGAGAUAUGCAAUGAAUCAAGAGCGACAUGUAUGAAAAUUAUGAAGGUGGCCUUGCCACAAAUACAAUGUCAACUACAUGUUCAUGCAAAAAGCAAUAUGACAAAAGUGAUGUGUGUCAUAUGAACGGAACGGUGGAAAGUUGCAUGGCAAUAUAUCUCGGAAUGGCUAUGGAAAUGUCAUAAUAGGUAGGUAUGGCGGCUGUUUUGAGGAAGGAGUAUGGCGGGUGUAUGGUACCGGCGAAAGUUGCACGAUACAAGAGAGGCUAGCAAUAAUGGAGGGGUGAAAGAGUGUGUAUAAUCCAUGGACUCAACAUUAGUCAAAAGAACUCAUAUACUUGUUGUAAAAAUUUAGAAGUCAUCAAAAAAACCAAAGCACUACGCGCAUGCUCCUAGGGGGAUAGAUUGGUAGAAAAGACCAUCGCUCGUCCCCGACUGCCACUCAUAAGGAAGACAUUCAACAAAUAAAAUUGUUCUCCAAUUUCAUCACAAAGCGGUUCACCAUACGUGCAUGCUACGGGAAUCACAAACUUCAACACAAGCAUUCUUUAAAUUCAUAAUCACCCAACUAGCAUGACUUUAAUAUUACUACCUCCAUAUCUCAAAACAAUUAUCAAGCAUCAAAUUGAUCAUAGCAUCCGAUUCACUUUAUAUGAUAGUUUUCAUUCAAAUUACCAUGCCGUUUAAGAAUCUCAAAAUAAUAUAAGUGAAGCACUAGAGCAAACGACAAACUACUCCAACAAGAUAUAAGUGAAGAUCAAUGAGUAGCUAAAUAAUUAUGCAACUAUGUUAAGACUCUCUGUCAUUAAAGAAUUUCAGAUCUUGAUAUUUUAUUCAAGCAGCAAGCAAAACAAAAUAAAAUGACAUUGCAAGGAUAGCACAACUCAUGUGAAGAAGCAAAAACUUAAGCUCAACCGAUACUAACCGAUAAUUGUUGAAGAAGAAAGAUGGGAUGCCUACCGGGGCAUCCCCAAUCUUGGACUUUUGUGUCUCCUUAAUUCCCUUCAUGUCACGGUUUCUUUUCUUUUUAUCAAAAGCUUCAUUCACAACAAACUCAACAAGAACUCGUGAGAUCGGUUAGUAUAAACCAAAUCAAAACCUUAUCACUUUCUACUGUAACAACUCACUAAAAUUAUUAUUCAACAUUGAAUACUAAAUGCUUCUGCAUAUUUAAUACUCCUAUCCUCAAAUAGAAUCAUUAAACAAGCAAACAUAUGCAAACAAUGCAACCAUAACAGCAAUCUGUCAAAACAGUACAGUCUGUAAAGAAUGCAAGGGUAUCAAUACUUCCCUGACUCCAAAAAUUAUGAACUAAAAUUCCCACUGUAAUAAAUUUAUCAGAGCUUAAUAUGCAAAAAGAUUCAACGCUAGACCAUGCUCUGACUUUUCUAGGGAAUUUUUGCAACAGCGGUAAACUUUCUGUUUCCAAACAGCAACAUGUAUACUAGCAAAAUAAGCAUGGCAAAGGCUAUCCUUAACUUUUUUAUUGAAACUAAAGGUGCAAAACAUUAUUCUAACUAACAGCAAGCAAAUACUAAGAAAAGAAAAUGACGCUCCAAGCAAAACACAUAUCAUGUGGUGAAUAAAAAUAUAGCUCCAAGUAAAGUUACCGAUGAAUGAAGACAAAAGAGGGGAUGCCAUCCGGGGCGUCCCCAAGCUUAGGCUCUUUUCACUCCUUAUUCCAUAGUCCAUCGAAUCCUUACCCAAAACUUGAAAACUUCAACCACACAAAACUCAAACAAAACUCAUAAGCUCCGUUAGUAUAAGAAAAUAAAACCACCACUUAGGUACUGUAAUGAACUCAUUCUAAAUUCAUAUUGGUGUUAAAACUACUGUAUUCCAACUUCUCUAUGGUUCAUACCACUUAAUACUAGCCAUAGAUGCAUCAAAAUAAAGCUCGGGAUACAUCAAGAUCGUGCCAUAGAGGGAACACGAGAGAGAACACGAGAGAGAGAGAGAGAGAUCAGAGCUACUGGUACAUACCCUCAGCCCCGAGGGUGAACUACUCCCUCCUCGUCAUGGAGAGUGCCGGCAUGAUGAAGGUGGCCACCGGUGAAGGAUUCCCCCUCCGGCAGGGUGCCGGGAAAGGCUCCCGAGAGGUUUUUGGUGGCUACAGAGGCUUGCGGCGGCGGAACUUCCGAUCUAGGUUAAUUCCCAAAAGUUUCAGUAUUUAUAGGAAUUAUUGGCGUUGGUUUCACGUUAGGGGGGUCUCUAGGCCGUCCACGAGACAGGCCCCCCCUAGGGGCGCACCCUCCUAUCUCGUGGGCAGCCCGGAGCUCUUCUGACCCAACUCCGAUGCUUCUGGCCUUCUUUUGGUCCAUAAAAAAUCCUCAAAAAUUGGCACGUCAUUUGGACUCCGUUUGAUAUUCCUUUUCUUCGAAUACUGAAUCAGGCAAUAAAACAACAAUAUGGGAUGGGCCUCCGGUUAAUAGGUUAGUCCCAAAAGUAAUAUAAAAGUGUAUAAUAAAGCCCAUAAUCAUUCAAAACAGAUAAUAUAAUAGCAUGGAACAAUAAAAAUUAUAGAUACGUUGGAGACGUAUCAUGAUGCAAAGUGGACCAUCUCUCGAUGCACUCCCUCAAAGUCUCAUUCGGCUUCUGCACACAAUGCUGCAACUCGGGCAAACCUGCUGGUCGCUUGCACGUGCCCUCGAAAGUUCUAACGAACACUCGGGAUAGCUCUUCCCAACUGUGAAUACUACCUGGAGUCAACUGAGUUAGCCACGCUCGGGCUGACCCUUCCAACAUAAGGGAGAGAUGCUUCAUCGCUAUCUCGUCGUUGUCGCCCCCAAUCUGCACAGCCACUCGGUAAUCUUCAAGCCAAGUUUCCGGCUUGGAUUCACCGGUGAAAUUACUGACCCCGGACGCCAACCUGAAGUUGGGUGGAAUCACUGCUGCUCUGAUGGCUCUGCUAAAACACUCGGGACCACAAACAUGCACUCGACUGCCACUUGGACGGUCUCCGCCUAGGUCUUCUCUGUGCGCCCUAUUUCGGUCGACCAGGCCUUGAACGAGGAUAGACCUCGCGUCAAAGCCUGGUUCCCUUGGGUCGACUGAAGCUCUGUGCUCACCACUAUGAUGGCGCCUGUCAUCGUUCCGCCGAGGCACAUAUGACGUACUCCUCGGGGGAGGCAUGGGUCCUCAACGGUGAUUGUCACGGUCGAGUGGAUGAUCAUAUUGUCUACGCCCUUCAUGCCGUGGAGGUGAUCUGGGGCUGUGAGCCGACUGAACCGUGUCCGCUGCAACGGAUCUACUGUGAAUCAUGUUUCGCGAUUGAGAUACUGCUGUAUUCUGCUCUCCUGGCGCCCUGAGUAGGGCCCGGAUUUGCAUCAACCCUCUGCUAGCCUCUGACUGGGACGGUUGGAUCGACUCUGCUAUGCGGGCUGCGGCUGUGAGAUUCUGAAUCGGAGGGCGGUAUACCUUAGGUGGAGGCGGAAAGAGUUGUCGUCAACUGGACUCAUGGAUCCGCUCCUGAGCGCGCUCGUCGAGAUCCCGCUGGAGGUUAUCCAGUCGAGUGCACUCAGCCAGAUUAGCUAAGCGCACCUCCUCCAAGGCCCGAGCCUCGGGGGUUUCUCCUAUGAUGGGCGUGUGGAGUGCAUCCAUGUUGCGGCGACGAAGUUCUUCCCUCUGCUGAGAAGAGAGGGGCUCGGGUCGGUAUUCCUCGUGGGUGUGCGAUGGAUCGCCGCCUCCGUCUCCGCCGCCCUCGCAGUGAAAACCAGGUGGGCUGUGAGGCCCAUCAACCAUUAAGACUUCGGCCGCAGGAUCGCUGCUAUCGCAUUCGGAUGCGGUCUCUGCGGAGCCAGUCGACAGAUCGAACAGGCCGUGGAGAGUUUCGUCGGGCUCGAUCGCAGCGACUUGGUGGGUGGUUGAUUGCUGAGCCACCGCGUGUUUCACCCACCGCUGAAGCUGCGAUCGACCGGAUCGCUUGCGGCGGCGGACAGCGGGGGAGGAAAACGCCAUUGGAGCCGACUGGUAUUGCAUCGACGGCUGUCGAAUAAGAACGCCAUGAACGCACGCGCGGAAGUGCAUCGCUCCUCGGACGGGGAGCGGUUCAAUGUCCAGGGGAGCUUCUUGGAGCCACGCGGAGUCGUCGGCGACGAAAAUGAGCGCGCCGAGAUGGAUCUCGCGGUCUUCAGCCAAUCCGCCGCUGGAAACCAUGGUCAUGGUGAUCGAAAAAACUUGCAACUUCACCAAUAAGUUGCUAAGACGCCUGCCCCAAGGUGGGCGCCAACUAUCGUGGUUCUAAGCCUGACAGUAGAAAGGGGGGUGGGUAUGGAGAGGCAAGAUCUUAGCUAUGGUGAAGAUGUACACACGAGAUUUACGAGUUCAGGCCCUUCUCUAAGGAAGUAAUAGCCCUACGUCUCAGAGCCCGGAGGCGGUCGAUUGGAUUAUGUGUGUUGUAUUACAGAGAGUGCGAACCCUUGUGCCAGAGGAGGGGGUGGCUUAUAUAGAGUGCGCCAGGACCCCAGCCUGCCUCCCUUACAAGGGAACUAAUGUACAUAAAGUAAUGGGUGUUACUGGUAACGCCAGCAUUAAGUACUCUUAAUGCCCAUGCAGACUAAGGAGUAAAUAUCUGGACGUUGUGUCCUACCGACUCCUGGUAUUCGACGUGGUCGAGUGGUCUCCAUAUGGUCGAGUGAAGGUAGAGAAUUCCGGUCAAGUGAUUGCAUCGUCGAGUGGAUUCUUGGUCUUCUCGUUCUUCUGGGGUAGUGACCUUGGGUAGGGUGUGUAGGUCAGGCCUAUGACCCUACCCCAGGUCUAUAUCCUCAUCAACAGGAGACAUGGAUUUUUUUGUCGUGGUUCCGAUAGGUGGUGCUAUCUUACAUCCAUGUUGAUGGAGACUUCAACCCACGAAGGGUAACGGCUGCGCGAGUCCACGGAGGGUUCCACCCACGAAGGAUCCACGAAGAAGCAACCUUGUCUAUCCCACCAUGGCCAUCUCCCACGAAGGACUUGCCUCACUAGAGGUAGAUCUUCAUGAAGUAAGCGAUCUCUUUGCCCGUACAAACUCCUUGGUUCAACUCCACAAUCUUGUCGGAGGCUCCCAAGUGACACCUAGCCAAUCUAGGAGACACCACUCUCCAAGAAGAAACAAAUGGUGUGUUGAUGAUGAACUCCUUGCUCUUGUGCUUCAAAUGAUAGUCUCCCCAACACUCAACUCUCUCUCACAGGAUUUGGAUUUGGUAGAAAGAAGAUUUGACUGGAAAGCAACUUGGGGAAGGCUAGAGAUCAAGAUUCAUAUGGUAGGAAUGGAAUAUCUUGGCCUCAACGCAAGUGUAGGUGGUUCUCUCUUAAAAAAUGUAAGUUGGAAGUGUAGGUUCGUUCUGAUGGCUCUCUCCACGAAUGAAGAGGAGGUGGAGGGGUAUAUAUAGCCUCCACACAAAAUCUAACCGUUACACACAACUUGCCAAUCUCGGUGGGACCGAAUUGAGAAACUCGGUCGGACCGAUUCAGCAAAUCUAGUGACCGUUAGGAUUUUCGGUGGGACCGACAUGCAACUCGGUAGGACCGAUAUGGUUAGGGUUAGGGCAUAACGUAACCUCAGUGAGACCGAUUACACAUACUCGUUGGGACCGAUUUUGGUAAUAAGCUAACCAGAGAGUUGGUAAGGUAAACUCGGUGGGACCGAUUCGCUCAUCUCGGUUGGACUGAAAUGUUACGAAAGGAAAACAGAGAGUUUACAUUGCAAUCUCGAUGGGACCGAUCGCUCAUCUCGGUGGUACCGAAAUGUUAUGAAGGGAAACAGAGAGAUUACAAUCCCAUCUCGGUGAGACCAAGAUCCCUAUCGGUGAGACCGAUUUGCCUAGGGUUUGUGGCAGUUGCUAUGACAUCUGAACUCGGUGGCGCCGGAUGGAAAGAAUCGGUGGGGCCGAGUUUGACUUUUGUUUUAGGUCAUAUGUGGAUGUGAGAAAGUAGUUGAGGGCUUUGGAGCAUAUCACUAAGCAUUUUGAGCAAGAACCUCAUUAAGCAACACCUCAUCCCUCCUUGAUAGUAUUGGCUUUUCCUAUAGACUCAAUGUGAUCUUGGAUCACUAAAAUAGAAAAUGUAGAGUCUUGAGCUUUGAGCUUGAGCCAAUCCUUUUGUCCUUAGCAUUUUGAGGGGUCCACUUUUCUCAUCCAUGAUGUGCCAUUCAUUUAGCUUUCCUAAAAUACUUAUCUUGAAAUAGCAUUAGCUCAAUGAGCUAUAUGUUGUUAGGAAUUACCAAAACCACCUAGGGAUAGUUUCACUUUCAAUCUCCCCCUUUUUGGUAAUUGAUGACAACAUAUAGAUCAAAGCUUCGACAAAUGAUAAUAAGAUUGAAAAAACAUUGUCGCUUUGAGAAGUAUGUGAAAAGCAAGAGCUCCCCCUAAAUUUGAGAAUAGUUUAAGAUUUGCUUUGGACUGCAAAUGCACAAUAGUUAGGAUCAUGGGUUACUCUUCCAUGUCACAUACAUCUUGGUUCAGCGCUCAAAAUGAUAAUAAUUAAAUGCAUGCACUCAUCACCAAGCAAAGUGAAUGAUCAUAUAGAUAUAAAAGGAUAAUGUCAUCCAACAAGCAUUAAGGUAGCAUCGUAUAUGAUCAACCACAUGAUCAUCCAAGUAUCACAUAAAAGCAUAGAGUAUCUCAAACAAGCAAAUAACAAAUUUCAACCACCAAAACAAGAGAGAACAAAAAGCAAUACUCUCUCUCGAAGCCUAUGAUCUAUACAUUUUUCUCCCCCUUUGGCAACAAGUUACCAAAAAGUUCAUAGAAAAUGCAUAGUACUAAACGACUCUCAGGCUUGGUCUUCAGGUGGUGGUGUAGAUAAAACUCCAAGGAUGAAGGCAUCAGUUGAGGUUGAUGGAGCUGAUGGAGUGGCUACUGGAGCUAGUGGUACUGAAGCUGUUGUUGGUGCAGAUGAAGUUGCUCUGGUGUCUGUAACUAGCACUGCAGCAGAUCUCUAACUUCUGGGCACUCUGGCAAAUGCAUCAGUGGUAGACUUGCCCUUCUUCUCUUGCAUUUCAUCCUGAAGUUGCUCAACAACUGACUGUAUCUCAGUCACCUUCACAUCUAAAUCAUAGAACUUCUGCUCCAUGAUCCUCUCCAAGCUCUCCUGCUUUUGAGUCAGGGUGGCCAAGCCCUUCUCAAUCCUCAGAGUGGAGGCAAUCAAGUAGCCAAGCUGAUAUUGCUUGCUCUUCAGGAAAAUCUGAGAUGCCUCUUCAGCAGUUGGCAUCUUAGCAGCCUUCUCAGCCCUUGCCUUCUCCUUCUUCUCUUGUGCUUGCACAGAAGAUGGUUCAUUUUCAUCCAUCACCACUGUGUUGUCCUCAAAGUAUGGGUAGAUGGGCAUGUGUUCCUUGUCCAAGAGAUAUGUGCCAGUGCCCAUAUUGGAGUUGAUUAGCUCCUGGAUCUGUGGGGCAUACCCACAAUUUCUCUUUUGAUCAGCAGCUGUCCUCUUGAUAGUUUCCACAAUUAGGCUCAUGACUUUGAACUUUUGAGGCACAUCAAAUAUGUGAAGCAGGUUAAUUGCAUGGCCUUUGAUCAUCUUGUGAUCACCUGACUUUGGCAAUAGAGUGUGCCUGAGGAUCCAGUUGAUUGUUGGCAAACCUGACAGACGGUAAUGUACUGAUCCAAAUUUGUGUGUCUCAAGAGCAGCAUCUGGGAUCUCUCUGUACAUAUGUGCCAUGGAGUUGUGAUCCUUCUUCUUCUUGGCAUAGACAUCCAAGUCAUCCUCAUUUUACUUAGGAGCAUUGAUCAAUUUUGCCCAUUCUUCAACUGUUGAUUGGUACCUAGUACCUUCAGACAUCCAGACAAUCCUUCCAUCUGGGUAGAAAUGAGCUGUGGAGUAGAACUGCAUAAUAAGCUCAUCAUUCCACUUUGUGAGCUUCUGCCCUACAAAUUUCUCUACUCCACAAGACUUGAAACUAUCAUAAACUCCAGGAUAGUGUUCCUCAUUUUCCCUGAUGUACUUCCAGUCCACCCAUCAUAUAUCACAGACUAUAGGCUUCUUGUCAAGCAGCACUGUCUCAUAGAAGUCCUGUUGUUCCUUUGUAUGGAACCUGUAGUCCACAACAGUUCUUCUCCUGACUGCAUAGGGAUCAGUCAAUCUCCACUGUCUGAGUCAUGCAUCCUUCCUGAGCUUCAUGUCCUCAACUAUUGGAUGAGCAUCAUUAUGAUCUGGAAUUUUGGGCUUCAACUUCCUCAAGACAUGUGUCUCACCAUUUUCUUCUUCUUCUAUAGCAGCUUCAGGCACUGGGGCCUUGUUGUUCUCACCAACAGGAAUAUUCCUUGUAUUCCUCUUGGGUGCAGCUUUGGGCUUUGGUGUAGCUGUCUUGGGAGCUUCUUUGGGCUUUGAUGGAGCAACCCCUGAUCUUAUAGCAUCUCUCAUAAGCUUUUGAGCUUUAGGUGCUGGAGCAGCAACCUCUUCCUCUUCUUCUUCCAUCAUGGAGGGCUUUCCAACAACCCUAGCCAUGGUCUUCUUGACCCUUUCUUUCCUUUUCUUCCCUUCUGCAGCAGCCUCUUUGGGUUCAGAUUCCAAAGUUACUUGAGUAGAGGCUCUGGCUUUAGACAUGGGAAUUCUUCUUGCAGGUGCUUUGGUCCUCAUACCAGGCUUAGUGGUAGCAGUUGUGCCAUAUUCCUUCUUCAACACCUUCUUCUUGGAGGUGGCCUCAUCCUCAACAGCCACAUAGUCUUCAUCCUCAGAAUCUGAGGUUCUCUUCUUUCUGGCCAUGGUGGCUACCUUAGGCAAGUUGCUGGGUGUGCUCCUGCUACCAUCAUAGCUGCUAGAGGGACUAGUGCCCUCACUCAUGUGAACUUGCUCCUCAGACUUGUUCUGACUGUCAUGAUGAUCUGACAUGAUGCAAACACUGACAGCAGACCCUGUGAAUAGAUACAGAUGAGGUAGAGUAGAUGAGCACCACAAAGUACAGAGGUUUUUGCAAACAAUGAGUCAAAAACUUAGUUUUAGUUUUCCACAGAAAGCAUUUCGGAUCUACCGAUUUGAAAACUCGGUGAUACCAAAGCAGCUUUCGGAACCUAAACUAGUGAACUCGGUCAGACCGAGUCACAGUUUGGUGGCACCGAGACUGCUAGGGUUUCACAAAGUCCAGAUCUCGGUCACACUAAUUUGCAAUUCUCGGUCAGACCGAGAAUCGCAUGUGCAAUGGCCUUAGCCAAAUCGGUGGAACCGAUUUCUACAACUCGGUUGGUCCGAGAUGAUUUCGGUGGAAACCUAACCCUAAAUUUUCAAUCCACAACUAAACUAUGGAGUGAUUUCGCUGGAUAGAAUGAUCUCAAUCGUGGCAAGAUACAUGGCAAAACAAUGUGCUAGGAAUCGGAGUGAGAUUAGCACAAGGAUCAAGUCCAUACCCUAAGUGCGGUGACGGACCUGCUACGGCGGCAACGACGGAGUCGAUUCCCGUUGACGGCGGCGGAGACCAGCGGUGGGAGGCAGCUGGCAACGAGGAGGACUAUUCGGAGACCCAGGGAGGCAGAGCAGGCUGAGUGCGGGCAAAGGGGUUCGGAGAAAUUUCCAAAUUUUGGCCCGAGGAUAUAUAUAGCCUGACCCUGUCGGUGUGACCAAGUGGAACAACUCUGUGGCACCGAGAUGCAUAAUUGCAAGCAGUUACUGCAACUCAGUGUGACCGAAAAGUUCAAAUCGGUUGCACCAAGAUUGAAAACCUAGAUCGACUUAGUGAUCUCGGUAUGACCGAAAUGGAUGAAACGGUCAGACCGAAACACACAAAGAAGUUUUGGAAGUUUAAGUCUAUGACGAAUCAGGGACUCCGAGUGCUCCUCACACAGAGUGGUUCGAAUCUGACUUGAUCAAACUUUGUGAUGUAGCAUGAAUAGAGUUUGAGACAAGAAAAGCAUAGAUAGCUAGGGAGGAUUCUUAGGCAUUCUUGUCCAUCCACUUGACAAAAGAAAAGAAACCAAACAAUCAAAACAACAAGUGGAUGUCCUUGAAUGAGUAAAAUAUGCAAAUGACAUGCUUACACAAUAAAAUGACAAAUGAAAUAUGUGGCAAAGCAUGCACAACCAUUCUAGCAUCUAUCAAGCAACUGGCGAUGACUAGGUCAUCUAUAUAUGAGUAUAUUGACUUAGGAGUCAAAUGAGAACAUUUGAUCAUAGGUCAUACACAUCGUUUAAGCUCAAGUAGGGUUGCCACUUUUACAUAAUGCAUUGUUGUGUUCACACCAUUAGAGUUGCUUUAGCUCAAUUCUUAGAGUAAAGCUCCCCCUAGAUGUGAGAUCCCCCCUUAGGAGGGAUGAACUAAUCUUGGGUUUUGUCGAUGAUGACUUUAUGUAGGUGUUGAAGAUGUGGAUGCUCAAUGUUGAUGUAGAUCAUUUGGAGCAAUCCUUUGGAGUGAGUUGCACUUUCAAUACCUACACGGGUUAGUCCCACAAGGAACAAACAAGGAUAUCCAUAGACAUAAAGUGAUGCACACACAAGAUGAUGUCUAUGAAAGCAUUAUGUUACCUUGUCCCUUGUCUUACCAACAAGAGGUUUUGUGACUCCUUGAACUAGUGCAAGAUGUGGAAGUUGAUUGCACUUGUCCUUGCCAAAAUGAUAAGAGUGAAGUAUGUUGGCGGAGUCACCCUCAAGAACUCUCUAGUUCUUCUUCUUAGGGAUCCACACCAUCUUGAUGGGAAUCCUUGGAGUUGUAGUCAUACUUGAUGAAGUAGAACUUGAUGUAGUCUUGGGAACCCACUUGACCAAGGCCUUAGGAGCUUCUUCAAAUGCAUCAAUCUCCUCUUGAAUCUUGUCCUUGCCUUUUUGCUUGUGGUCUUGUGGUGGAAGAUCAUCUUGAGCUUGUGUCCCUUUGAAAGAAGUAGGAUCAUACUUCUCUUGUUGAGGAACAAACUUCAUGUUCGGGUAUUGAUCUUCUUCCCAUUCAACUCCAUUGGCAUUGAACUUCCAUUCAAAACCAACACCUUGGUUCUUCCGGUGCCUUCCUUGCUUGCAUACAAUUUCCUCAAAUUGCUUACUACCGGCAAGGAUCUUGUAAACACCUUUCUCUAUAAUUCCCUUCAAUAAGCUAUUUUCUUGCUCAAGUGUAACUUGGCUAAGAGAAUCAUUAGUGGAAUCAAGAGAACUACUAGAAGGAACAACAUUGGAUUUAGCAUGAUUAUUGUUACUACUAGAGGAAGAAUCCUUCUUGUUUUUGUUACUAGACUUGACUUGAGGCAUGUAAGUAUAUAGGAGUAAACGCUUGGCAAUGUAAGAAGAACUUUUCUUGCGAAGAUCAUCAUUGAUUGCCUUUAAGAACUCAUGCUCUUGCUCAAGGUUGAGCUUUUCAAAGCGUAACUUCUCAUGAGACCUUAAAAGUUCUCGACGAUCUCCUAAGAUAGUUUCAUGAGCUAACUUAAGAGUGUUUAUGUCGGAGUAAUGGGCCAUGGGUAGUGAGGGAGUCCUGGAUAAGGGGGUAUCGGGACAGCCGGACUGUAUUCAUCGCCCGGACUAUAGAAGCGUCAAGAUACAAGACUCAAGACUUCGGCUCGUGUCCGGAUGGGACUCUCCUUUGCUUGGAAGACAAUCUUGGCGAUCCGGAUAUUAUGUUUCCUUCCUUGUAAACCGACUCCAUGUAAACCCUAGGUCUCCGGUGUCUAUAUAAACCGGAGAGCAUGGUCCUUAGAAGGCCGAUCACAAUUACAAUCAUACCAUCAUAGGCUAGCUCUUAGGGUUUAGCCUCUACGAUCUCAUGGUAGAUCUACUCUUGUGUUCCACAUAUCUUCAAUAGUAAUCAAGCAGGAAGUAGGGUUUUACCUCCAUCGAGAGGGCCCGAACCCGGGUAAACAUUGUGUCCCUUGCUUCUUGUUACCAUCAGCCUAAGACACACAGAUCGGGACCCCCUACCCGAGAUCCGCCAGUUUUGACACCGACAUUAGUGCUUUCAUUGAGAGUUCCUCUGUGUCGUCGCUUCAAGCCUUGAUGGCGUCUUCAAUCGUCAACAACACGGUCCAGGGUGAGACUUUUCUCCUCGGACAGAUCUUUGUGUUUGGUGGCUUCGCACUGCGGGCCAAUUCGCUUGGCCAGUUGGAGCAUAUCGACAGCUUCGCCCCUGGCCACCAGAUCAGGUUCGGAAACUUGAACUACACGACAGAUAUCCGCGGAGACUUGAUCUUCGAUGGGUUCGAGCCUGCGCCAGGAGCGCCGGACGUCCACGACGAGCACGGCCUAGACCUGCUGUCGGACAGUGCCUGGGAUAUCAUCCCCGAAGCAGCCUUGGAUCUAAAUCCACGACAGGUUGCGUUGCCUAUGGACGGAGGGCUGGACCCCGCUCCGCAGGCCGCACACAUAUCGGCGGUGGAGCCGAACACGGGUCCCACCUCUGUGGAGGCCUGUAACCCCGGACCCCCGGACUCAUAUCCGGCUGUUGGUCCUGUUCCGCUUACUCUCGAGCCAGCCGAGCCAGGUUGGGCUCCGUUAAUGGAGUUUACCGCUGUGGACAUCUUUCAGCACUCGCCCUUUGGCGACAUGCUGAACUCGAAGUCUCUCUCUUUGUCAGGAGACUCUGGGCCGAACUAUGUCCGGACCGAGUGGGAAGCAGGCGACGAAGGAAUUUGGCGCCCACCCACCACCCACUUCAUUGCCACGAUCGAAGAAUUAACCGACGUGCUUGACUCCGAAGACAUUGACGGUAUGGACGACGAUGCAGGAGAGGCUCCAGGAUCCCUGGAGCGCGGGACUACUACCUUGUCACACAAUAUAUACAUGGUAGAUACGCCCAAUAAGGACGGCAGCCCGGACGAUAAAACACCCGGGCAAAAGCCAAAGAGGCGGCGUAGAUGCCGCUCAAAGUCCAACAAUGGCAAAAAUAGCGACAAGAGCACAAGAAGGGUUGAUAUACCCGCAAACUCCGAAAGCAAUAAUGACGACAUGGACCCAGCGAUGGAGCAGGACGAGCCAGGUCACGCCGAAUCAAGUUCGGAGCAAAUACCCGAUCACAAUGAUCCGGAGGGGUGAGCUCAGGAUGCUGCCCCAGAAUAGGAAGACAGUCCGGACGACGAUGCAUUUAUCAUCCCGGACGAACAAGUGGAACGAGACAACCUCCACAGAAAGCUUAUGGCUACCGCAAGAAGUCUAGAAAAGCAGAAGCAACGGCUCAUGGCCGCACAGGAAAAGCUAAGUCGCAAAUGGAAUAAGGUGCUAGACACUGAAGAAAGAUAUGGCAAUGACCGCCAUACGAAAAGCUAUCCGAAGCGCAAGCUACUGCCAGAAUUCGACGACACGGCCGUUCCACCAAAAGAAAAUUCGACCAAGAAACCAGACGUGCCGCCUCACAACCAUUACAGAGCGGUCGCGGACACUGCACACGAUCCACGCGAGCAUACGGAUAAAAAGACCGGUGCAGCCAGGUCCAUAUAUGGAUCUAGAAGACACACCCCAGUGCAGGACUAUGGUCACCCAAACGCUCAUAAAAGCCAGAUACCAGUUCGGAAUCAACCCCGGACACAACAAUAGCCGACUACAUGCCACAAUGCGUCCAGAUACAGAGGGGCUGCUCACCCCCUGUGCUUCACCGAAGAAGUACUGGACCAUGAAUUUCCAAAAGGCUUUAAACUUGUGAACAUAGAAGCAUACAAUGGCACGAUUUUAUCUUGCAUAUUCACAUGGCUCGUGGGGAUGACCUCUACGCCAUCAAAUACCUUCCCCUCAAGUUUAAGGGACCAGCUCGACACUGGUUAAAAAGCCUCCCCGAAAACUCAAUUGGGAGUUGGGAGGAACUCGAAGACGCUUUUAGGGCCAAUUUUCAAGGGACUUAUGUCCGGCCUACGGAUGCAGACAAUCUAAGUCACAUAAUCCAACAGCCCAGAGAGUCCGCCCGCAAGCUUUGGAACAGAUUCCUCACUAAGAAGAAUCAAAUUGUCGACUGUCCGGACGCUGAAGCCUUAGCGGCUUUCAAACACAGCAUCCAUGACGAAUGGCUCGCCCGACACCUCGGCCAAGAAAAGCCGAGGACAAUGGCAGCCUUAACAAGCCUUAUGACCCGCUUUUGCGCGGGUCAGGAUAGCUGGUUGGCCCGUAAAGGCACCAGCGACCCCAGCACAUCCGAACUAAGGGAUGGCAAUGGGAAGCCACGGCGUAAUAAAAACAAACACCAAAACAAGGAAGAGAGCCCGGACAACACGACGAUCAACACUGGAUUCAGGGGCUCUCGACCUGAUCAGCAAAAGAAGCCAUUCAAAGGCAGUAGAGAUGGACCAUCCGGUCUGAACAGAGUCCUGGAUAGACUAUGCCAAAUUCAUGGCACCCGGAGAAACCUGUGAACCACACCCAUAGAGAGUGCUGGGUCUUCAAGCAGGUCGGCAAAUUAAAUGCUGAAUACAAGGGGAGGGGCACACCAAGAGAAGACGAGGAUGAACCUCACCAGCCGAACACUGGGGUACAAAAAAAAUUCCCGCCAGAGGUUAAAACAGUAAACAUGAUCCACACGACUCACACAUCCACGAGAGGGCAUGAACGCGCGCCCAUAGAAGUGCAUGCUGUAGAGCCCGUCGUACCCACAUCUCACUACUGGAAGUCUCGUCCGAUCUCUUUCGAUCACAUGGACGGCCAAACUACAAUUUGGCGAGGAGGAUCACAGGCCUUGGUGCUUGACCCAAUAAUCGACGGAUACCGUCUCACCCGUGUCCUCAUGUACGGCGGUAGUGGUCUCAAUUUAAUAUAUGAGGACACUGUCCAGAAUUAAACAAAGCAACACCACCUUUGAAGAGGUGAUACCAGGUGUUGUAGCCUGCGCCAGGGGCUCCGUCGUGCUGGAAGUAACAAUCGGCUCCCCAGGCAACUCCAGAAGCGAUGAGCUGCUCCUCACUGUCACACCCUUUCAAAGCAGCUAUCAUGCAUUGCUAGGAAGAACGGCCUUCGCCCGCUUCAACGCAUUGCGCACUAUGGCCACCUUACACUCAAGAUGCCCGGUCCCCGUGGCGUCAUCACCGUUAGCGGAAUCAUAAAGCGCCCUUCAUGCGCAGAGGAAUACGCGACGGCCCUAACGGCCGGACUAUAAGCGGCCUCCAGUUUUAGAAAACAUGAUUGGUCAUUACGACCACAUACACGGUUAGACGAGUCCGGUAGCCCGGAUAAAUUCAAACAGGGCACUGUAUAUGUAAUCCCAUAAGGGACACCAGGGGCUGUCUAUAUUUAAUACAGCCCCACGCUUGGCUCAACCUUAUUGGCAGGCCAACAGCUUACACUCUUAUUAUUGAUUGCAUACUUACGUUGCACCCUCCUACGAGUUUUUCUUUUUUACAGACAAUGUUCGCGCGAUACCCUUCCAGGAUACAGCACAACAGAGAUAAAGGCGCAGACGUGCAGCAGGGCCCCGUGCAACAGGUUUCUUUUUAGAUUAAGCCCCUGUGUAAACCUUUUCUACUGCCUCUUGUUGUUUAACCAUCCCAUGGGUUCUAUACCCACAGAGGAUACUGCCGUUUUUGGCAUUUGGCCAUGGCAGACUAAAUUGCACGUACCUAGAAAUAAAGGGCUUAAAACAGGCUCUUGUCAGCCUAUCUUCUUUUACAAAAGACCGAAUACCCUUGGGAGUGUUCGGCGUCACGAGUUUGGCCGUAUAUGCAUCAGCUCCGAAUCAUGUCUUUGGUCAAAAUGUUGGGUUUAGCAGGCUCCUGGGUUUGCCGCCUUACGUUCCGCUAUCAUCCGGCUAAGGCAGGCCAAAGGAGAACUACUGCGAUUGUGCCCUGGUUAUUCCGGAUGAGCGCCUCAGUAGAGAAAGCCGAAAACUGACCGUCAUGAUACAGCGAGAGACUGUUCAACCACUCAAAGACUCACCGGAAUCCCUAAAGAUUCCUCCGCCUUAACGAAGGGUCGUUUCCCGGCCAUGUACACACGCGCCCGUAUUCGGAUGCACGUGGAGGUACUAGAGGCUACAUAGUAGCCCCACCAUUAGACUCCCAUGGAUAAGCGAAAGUGUUACAGCUAUAUAGUCCGGUUGCCUAGUUCGGCGUGCGAUCACCUCCUUAACGGACCAAGACGUUGGAUCAAGUGUUAUUAUGCAUAUUUUUUUGCCAACACCCCCGCAUUGUCCGCGAGGGGGCUGAAGCCAACGACUGCUAUCUUUCAGACUACUUAUACAUAUAAGAAUAGCCGCAAAGGGAGGACAAUCAUACUUCCGAGCAAAAGUAUAAACAUAGCCUCAUAAUUAAACUAAACAUUGUUUUCUACAAUGAUUCGACUUAUCACUCGAAUAAAACACUCUUCGAGCACUGCACCACUAUCAGGCGGGCACCUUUCGUGACUUGCGCCAAGUAGUGCUCGUCCGGAUGUUGGCCUCCCGCCGGAUCCUGGAUUGUUAUUACAGUGGCCUCCAUAUCCGUCCAGUAGGCUUUAACGCGGGCUAGAGCCAUCCGUGCACCCUCUAUGCACGCCGACCUUCUCAGGGCGUCAAUCCGGGACAUGGCUCCAAGGAAUUGUUGCACCAAACCAAAGUAGUUGUCUGGCUUAGGCCCCUUUGGCCAAAGAUGGUCUAUUACAGACCGCAUUGCAAGUCCGAACAGCCUGUGGAGCUCCGCCAUAGCAGCCACCUUCUCAUUCACUGGCAGCGGGCACGUGGGAGCAUUAAACUGCAACCAGAAAAGCUUCUCCACUUCUUCAUCGCCUUGAACCUCGAAGAACUUGACAGCGUCAGCUGUACUAUUCACCAAGUCCGCAUAUGCGUCCGCAGGACUCAUGCGACCCACCAGGGGAGCAUACUUUGGAUCCAAGAACUUCGUACAAAGUGAGUACGAGCCCCUAGCCACGAUUUUGUCAGCUUGUUGGAGCUCCUCCCGCAUACUCCUGAUCUCGGUCCACAUCUCCUUGGCGGCAUUACGUGCCUUGUCCAGCUCGGCCGAACUAGCCUUAUUCUCCUUUUCAAGUAGUGUGUACCGGUCGGCGGCAUUUUUUAACUCUUCGGCCAUUUCAGCUAUCUUUUCCUCGCUUCGGCGACGAGCAGCCUGUUUAGCUCUCAACUCUUCGGCCGCCUUUAGGGCAGCCGCAUUGCUAGCCCGAGCUUGUUCCUUGGCUUGAGCAAGUUCCUCCCUCAGCGCCUCCACGGCAGCAGCACCAUCUGCAGUGCACACAUAUUGCAUUAAUAUUAUGCCGCUUUGGCAUUUUCCUACACAUUAUACUAAAAACCAUGCACAUACCUUGGGACUCCUCAAGCUGUUUAUUCACCAGCGUGAUAUCGGCAUCGAUGGAUCCGAUUUGCCUCCUUAGCUCGGCAACUUCAACAGACUGGUCGGCUGCCGGACCCUUGUAUACCUGCGCACAUGUAUGGCGCAGCCAUUAGUAUAUGAUCCCCCGUUUGCCGCCUAUGGCGGGCAACCAGAGUCUCAGGGGCUACUAUCUAUAGGAAGCACACCUAGCGCGUGCUUCAUAACCACAAAGUUGUGCAUUUUUCACUACAUACCUCAAAGCCUUUGAGCAGGUUUGUAAAUGCCUCAUUCAAGCCGCUGGUAGCAGAUGAAAUCUUCUUGAGCACCAUGCUCAUUAAAGAGCGGUGCUCCUCCGAGAGCGCGGUUCGCUCGAGACGACCCGUCAGUACGUCCGACUGGACACUAAACUGCACCGGACCGUUCUCAUCGCCCCCCAUGGGAGCCAAAUGCUCCGGGCUCAGGGCGGCUGACAUACUAGCCUCCGGCUUCGGUAUAUCCGGACUCCUUUGUGAUGACACCUCCGUGUCGCCCGCCUCAUGAGGCGGAGAGUUGGGUGGGGUUUCACUCUCCAUCAACUCCGGACGAAGGUCCCCCGAAGACGAACUCUGUUGAGAAGAGCUGCUCGCCGGACUACAAAAAACGAAGUCCUGAUUAUGGAUCUCUGAGUAACAUCUCACCUUCGAAUUAUUGAAUGACUUACGGCUCGUUGGAGGGCUGGCCCGUUGGCGGGCAUGACGUGGUGAGGGCGCCUAUCGCGGCAGAGCCCCUUGGUGAUGUUUUCUUCCCUUGCUUGGGCGUCUCCGCCUCCAAAUCUUCGGAGGUGGCCCUCUUCUUCCCGCGUGGGGAGGAGGCUUUGACCUUCCCUUCCCGACUAUCCUCCAUAGGAGGGUUAGCGAUUUUCCCGGUCUGGAUGCGCAGCGCGUGAAGUUCGGCUUCACUGCCCUUUCCUUCGUCCAUCUCUGAAGGGAUUUUACUGAGUGCCCGGUCCAACAUCUUUGCAAUAGUGGGACUAGGCGAGCCUUCAGGAAGUGGUGCCGGACACCUGAUUCCAUUCGCCUUGUCAAGCCAUUCCUGGCCGCGGAGGGAGUGUUAGAAUAAAAAUCAUGAUAAAUAUAAAUGAAGUGUCCGGCUUUAAGGUUACUUACUUGGGCAUCUAGGCGAUUGCAGCUUAGGCCCGCAUCCUUGGUGGUGUCUGGACACUUUGCUUGUGGUCCGAAGAAUAAUUUACACAUUCCUUCGAGCGUCAGGCCGAAGAAGUGCUUAAUAGUCCGCGGACCCUCCGGAUUAAACUCCCACAUGCGGAGAGGCCGAUGUUUGCACGACAACGUCCGCCGGACUAGCAUUACUUGAAUUAUGCUGACAAGAUUUAUGUCCCUCCUAAGGAGCUUCAGGAUGCGGUUCUGUAGUUUUGGCACAUCACCAGCAGGCCCAUAAUUCCGUCCCACAUCGGUCCAAGACGCCAGCUGUGAUGGGGGCCCUGAGCGGAACUCGGGAGCAGCUACCCACUUUGUGCCUCUGGGAGCAGUGACAUAGAACCAUAUCCGUUGCCAUACGUCAGAUACUUCCGGAAAAGAACCCUCUGGCCAUGGGGCAUCAGCAUUCCUGCUUAUUAUGGCACCUCCGCACUCCGCGUGUCGCCCCUCGAUCAUCUUCGGCUUCAUAUUGAAGGUCUUUAACCACAAGCUGAAGUGUGGGUUGACGUGGAUAAAAGCCUCGCACACAAUAAUGAAAGAUGAGAUAUGGAGGAUGGCGUCUGGAGCCAGAUCAUGGAAAUCCAAGCCAUAGUAGAACAUAAGCCCCCUCACAAAGGGGUCGAGGGCGAGGCCUAGACCUCGGAGGAAUUGAGGAGUAAACACGACGCUCUCAUUGGGCUCCGGCAUGGGGAUGACUUGCCCCGGAGCAGGAAGCCUGUGCUGGAUAUCGGCAGUUAGGUAUCCAACCUCCCUAAGCUUCUCAAUAUCCUCCUCCUGAAUCGAGGAGGCCACCCACCGGCCUGCUGCGUCGGAUCCGGACAUACUGGAGGAUCUGGGGUGUUGGAGCUAAGGCUUUGGGCGAUGGAGCUCGAGGUAUGAGAGGGAGCAGGAGAGGUGGAGACGAGGCGUAGGCCUCGGCCCCUUUAUAAAAGGGAUGAAUGCCAAGAGUCCUUAGUGUGACCGCUUGAGACUUAUCUAAAAGGAAACACAGAAUUAUACCAACAGUCGCGGUAGGGUCGCAUAUGCCCAUAUUGAUGAAAGAUCCCGCAUUAAGAGGGACACGAUCUCUGCUUUGGUGGGACGUGCCGAUAAAACCGCCUCGCAACCCGACUCGAGGUGGAGCAGGAAACGAUGGUUCGUGUUGGACCAGUCACGAUGCAAGGGCACGACGUAUGAAGAUUGCCAGCAGAACAGAUUUAUGCUAAGGGUGUGUGAAGAUCAUCUUGCAGAUCCGGACACAACCUACGUGUUCGAUAAUCACCUUGGAGUAUUUAGAGGAGGAACCCACCUUGCAAUGUCGAAGACAAGACUGCAUGCCGGACUCAUCGUCAUUGAAGCCUGGUUCAGGGGCUACUGAGGGAGUCCUGGAUAAGGGGGUACCCGGACAGCCGGACUGUAUUCAUCGUCCGGACUAUAGAAGCGUCAAGAUACAAGACUCAAGACUUUGGCUCGUGUCCAGAUGAGACUCUCCUUUGCGUGGAAGACAAGCUUGGCGAUCCGGAUAUUAUGUUUCCUUCCUUGUAAACCGACUCCAUGUAAACCCUAGCUCUCCAGUGUCUAUAUAAACCGGAGAACAUGGUCCUUAGAAGUCCGAUCACAAUUACAAUCAUACCAUCAUAGGCUAGCUCUUAGGGUUUAGCCUCUAUGAUCUGGUGGUAGAUCUACUCUUGUAUUCCACAUAUCUUCAAUAUUAAUCAAGCAGGAAGUAGGGUUUUAUCUCCAUCGAGAGGGACCGAACCUGGGUAAACAUUGUGUCCCUUGCUUCCUGUUACCAUCAGCCUAAGACGCACAGACCGGGACCCCCUACCUGAGAUCCGCCGGUUUUGACACCGACAGGUAGACUCACCUAGGUCCUAGUACUUAUCAAGACUUUGGGCCGGCUCCGCCUGGCUGGGCCCCAAGAUGAAGCUCCGCCCUCUGGGGGCCGGCUGGCUAGACGGCCGGCUACCGGAGGGCGGCCAACCCCAGCCUACGGCACUGCAUGUGGCCGGCUCCAGCCAGCCGGCCUCUAGAGAGGGCGGCAUUGAGCAGGCGGCCACCUCGCGGCCUCGGAGCAACCGGGCCCCCAUUGAGAGUACAAGUUAGAGCAUAGCUACAGUAAAGCACGUCGCCCCCGACGCCCGGGACAGGCAUGGCUACAGUGCUCCGUACAGGCAGAGAUCUCCGCACGACGGGUCACUGUACCAUGUCUCCCCUGACGUCGCUCCGAGAAGGCGGAGUCCUAUUCCCCACGACGGCCUGUCGGUACGGCCUGCCGGCGGUGGGCCCUAUCGCGGAGAGACUCCGUAGAAGAUGGCGGAAGCCCAAUCAGUCCGACUCGGGAAUGGCCGGCCUCCAGCAGACUACCGUCCCUUGCCCCGAGGCAAGCAUGCCAUUAAGCUGAUGAGACCAGGUGUGGCUACAGUGAUCUCCCACCAGGCGGCGGGACUGUAGCCAUGCUGAAGAUGACCAAGCCCUCGUCAUCAACAGCACGGCUACAGUAAGAAGCCACCAACCAGUCGGCAGGGCCCACCAGGCGGCGGGCCCCAACGGUCGGCGGAGAAGCCGGAGGCUGGAGACACUGACAGUUGGGCCCAGCACCCGGACGGAUUACCAUUGUACCCCUGAGGCAUAGGCCUAUAUAAACCCCCAGGGCACCCAUGCAAAGGGUUUGAACUCUGAUAGAACUAGCCAGUUACCUAGAGCACGGAAGAGCUAGCCUUGCCUUCUCCUACCUCUAGACACAGCUCAAGGAGCAACUUGUAUCACUAGUGCCAUAGUGAUCAUGCGGAGACCCCACAGAGCAGGAGUAGGGGUAUUAUCUCCAUGGAGAGCCCCCAACCUGGGUAAAGUUCACCGGCCUAUGUGUCUACGCCUUAUCCCGCUUCCAGGCACCGGCGGCGUUCUACUCGCUCCCACCAUGAUAAGCCAUCCGUUGGCAUAUGUCGCACUCAAGCCCCGACAUUUGGCGCCCACCAUGGGGCGAGGUGCACCGUCUUCCGGAGAUCUGCUCUGGACGGGAACCCUGUUCCUUCCUGGCGAGCAAAGCCAGCCCAGCACGCUUGACGGCGUCAGCCCCGACGCACUGCAUGGCGCGGAGAUCGCCUGCGCGGCGAGCUGCCUCGCCGACCUCGUCGGCGAGAUCGAUCUCUCCGACGAGCCGGCCUCCGACACGUGCACUAGCUGCCGUGAGAGCCGCCUCGUAAGCCUCCUCGACCAGCUCCAUGUCACCAGUGACCCUGCUGUGGACCUGGAGUCCGUUGGCUCCACCGAUCCGAUGAUCGUCGACUCCAACACGGCGUCGUUCGACGCGUUCCCCACCAAUGUGGUGGUCUACGACGAGCCGCCUCCUCACGAGCACAGCAGUGGAAGCACCUUCACGGAGGUGCUCGUCAUCAACAACGGAGAGCACUCGGACGAGCAUGCUCAAGACCCCCUCGACACGACUCUGCACGACCUAACGGCGCCCAUUCCUGAGGGCGCGGAUGCUGAGGUGCUGGAGGCACGCCGCAUCCAGCUUCUUGAGAGCGCUGGCCGCCUGGCCAGCAUGCGUCGUCUCUCAGACGCCUACCGCGCGAGAUGGAUCGGGCCGUUGGCGGCACGCCGGCUCCUGAGGGGCCCAGCCACCUCGGCACGGUUCGGCAACGUGGCGCGACCGUCGCCAGUAUGUUCGGGGCAGAGCGCCCCAUCUAUGCCACACCUGCAGAGAACAUGUGGGACGCCCAGGCGGUGAUGGAUGAGCUGGACAAAUACGAUGGCGAUGAGUGCCGCCACAUGACAGAGUAAGUCCAGCAGCUCCUAGACGCGGCCGCCGUGCAGCACGAGGCCAGCUGCCGCACUGAAGUUCCAGCCCGACGAAACAACGAGCCGACCCCACGCCAAGAUCAUGGGGUGACAUCCUGGACGCCGACUGGUGGCGCCCGGGGAGGAAAAGGCAAGAAGCCGGCUACCAGCCGCAGUCGGACGCGCCUCUCCAUCGAGCGAGACGAGGACAGCCGCCCACAUGAGAUGGAGCGGCGAGGCGACCAGCCGCCUCCUCCGCCUCGUGGAGCGAGGCACCCCACUCCGCCUCCUGUCACACACCCGACACUCGGAGACCGCCUUGGCCGCCGAGAGGGAGUCGGAGAGAAUGACGCUCGCCAUCGGAUCGAUCGCCUCAACCGAUCCCUGGCGCUAGAAGAAGAAGACGCCCUGGGCCCGCCCUACUUUGGCCCCCGAAUUCGAGAUGAGCCCUUCCCCAAAGGGUACACUCUCCCGCGAGACACGCCCAAAUACACCGGCUCCGUGAAGCCGGAGGACUGGCUGGUCGAUUACUUCACGUCUGUUAGUAUAGCGAACGACAACAGGCACGUUGCCGUAAAGUACGUCCCGCUCAUGCUUCAGGGCACUGCCUGGAUGUGGAUCCACAGCCUGAAGCCCCGCAGCAUCAACAGCUGGGUGGAUUUCAUUGAGGCCUUCAUCCGCAACUUCACCAUCACGUACAAACGGCCGCCCAAGCCCCGGCAUCUCUCCUUGUGCGUCCAAGGGCCCAGCGAAUCGACUCGUGACUACCUCACGCGCUGGGCGAGCUGCGCAACUCCUGCGAGGGCGUGCACGAGGUGCAGGCCAUCGAGUACUUCACCGCCGGGUGCCGAGAAGGCACCCUCCUCAAGUACCGGCUUCUCUCCGACGAGCCUGCGACUCUCGACGAAUUGUUAAUCAUCACCGACAAGCACUCCACGGCCGACUCCUCCAUGAAGGCGGAGAUCUUAGUCGAUCUAUCCAGCAAGGUAGCACCUCAGGCUCCUCGGACUCCGGCUGGCGAGACCAGUCGGAGACAGCCCCCAAGUGAUAACAAGCGGAAGGCCACCCAGCCGGCUUCCAAUAGCCGGCAAGUGGUGACAGUCGAGGAUCAGCAGCCGGAGGGGCAGCCAGUGCCCAAGCGUCAGAAGGGCGGCAAGCCCAACUGGUUGCCUGCCUUCUCGCACAAGCAGACCCUCGAUGCUCCCUGCAAGUUCCACAGUGGCGCGAAGCCGUCCAACCACACCACUCGGAAGUGUCAUUGGCUCACCAGGAUUGCUAAGGGAGAUGGCCUCCUACCUCCUCCGCCUGUCGGCGUGCCACCUCCUCCGCCCCAACAGUCGGCGGCCCAGCCAGUCGGCGCCAUUCAAGAUGAGUAUCCUGCAGAGCACGGAGCCUAUGUCGUGUUCACUAGUGUGGCUGACGAUAGGCGCAGCAGACGGCAACAACAGCAGGAGGUGUAUGCAAUAGCCUCAAGCACCCCAGAGUUCAUGCACUAGUCCGAGAAGCCCAUCAGCUGGAGCAGGGCCGACCAUCCGGAAGUAAUGCCUUCCCCCGGUUCCUACGCCUUAGUCCUGGAUGCAACCCUUGCAACAGAGAGGCGAGCAGCCCAUUUCUCCAGGGUCUUGAUAGAUGGCGGCAGCAUCAUAAAUAUCCUGUACCGUGACACAAUGGAGAAGUUGGGAAUCAAGCAGAAGCAGCUCCCCCCUAGUCGGACUGUAUUCCAUGGCAUAGCCCCUGGCCUUUCCUGCUCACCAAUCGGCAAGACCCAGAUUGAUGUCCUCUUUGGAGACAAGAACCAUUUCCGUCGAGAGCCAGUAUGGUUUGAGGUGGUGGACCUAGAGAGCCCUUACCAUGCACUGCUUGGCCAGCCUGCCCUGGACAAGUUCAUGGCGGUCCCCCACUAUGCCUACCUCAAGAUGAAGAUGCCGAGUACCAAGGAAAUCCUAACUGUAGUCGGAGACUACAAGAAGUCGGUCUCCUGCACUGUAGACAGUAGCCGGCUGGCAGAGUCCCUCGUGAUUGCAGCCAAGAAGCGGCUCCUAGACCGGGUGGUGGCGAUGGCAGGCAAGAAGCCCGAAAUAUCACCCACCCCCAAGGAGUCGGACGUAGAGGGCUCAUUCAAGCUGGCAAAGGAAACCAAGAAGAUACCCUUGGACCCCGAGCACCCGGAGAGGCACGCUGUCAUAGGUGCGAACCUAGACAGCAAAUAGGAAAGCAAGCUCGUCGAUUUCCUCCAUGAGAAUCGGGACAUCUUUGCAUGGUCUCCCAAAGACAUGCCGGGUGUUCCGACGGAUUUCGCCGAGCACAAACUACAUGUCUGACCUGACGUCAAGCCGGUCAGGCAGCCCUUGCGCCGCCUGUAGGAAGAGAAGAGAAGAGUUGUUCGAGAAGAGAUAGCCCGGCUUCUGGCAGCCGGAUUCAUCAUGGAAGUGUUCUUUCCAGAAUGGCUUGCCAACCCAGCCCUAGUGUUGAAGAAGAACAAGCAGUGGCGUAUGUGUAUCGACUAUACCAGCCUUAACAAGGCCUACCCCAAAGAUCCGUUUGCCCUACCAAGGAUUGAUCAAGUGAUAGACUCCAUAGCCGGAUGCGAGCUGUUGAGUUUCUUUGAUGCAUAUUCAGGCUACCAUCAGAUAAAGCUGAACCCGGACGACAGGCUGAAGACCGCCUUCAUCAUGCCAUUUGGAGCCUUCCGCUAGCUGACCAUGACAUUCGGCUUGCGAAAUGCCGGUGCCACGUUUCAGCGUUGCAUGCAGAAGUGCCUCCUCAAGCAGCUCGGCAGAAAUGCCCAUGUCUAUGUGGAUGAUGUGGUGGUGAAGACGGAGAAGCGCGGCAUGCUGCUAGAAGAUCUCAAGGAAACCUUUGAGAACCUGCGCCAAUUCCAGAUCAAGCUCAACCCAGAGAAAUGCGUCUUUGGAGUACCAGCUGGCCAGCUUCUCUGCUUCCUGGUCUCAGAGUGCGGCAUAGAGUGCAACCCUGUGGAGAUCAAGGCAAUUGAGAGGAUGGAAGUGCCCACCCGACUGCUGGACGUGCAGAAAUUCACCGGCUGCCUGGCAUCAGUUAGCCGUUUCAUCAGCCAGUUGGGCGAGAAAGCUCUUCCCUUAUACCAACUCAUGAAGAAGACCACUUUUUUCGAGUGGAAUGACAAGGUGGACGAAGCAUUUCUCCAACUCAAGAAGAUGUUGGCAACCCCACCUAUCCUGGCGGAUCCGACUGAGAAGGAGCCCAUGCUCCUCUACAUCGCAGCCACCAGUUGGGUUGUCAACAUAGUCAUGGUGGUAGAGGGCAAGGAGGAGAACAGAGCAUUGCCGGUCCAGAGACCGGUGUAUUACUUGAGCGAAGUAUUGUCCGCCUCCAAGCAAAACUACCCACACUACCAAAAGAUGUGCUACGGCAUGCAUUUUGUCGCCAAGAAGCUGAAGCCUUACUUUCAAGAGCACCCAAUAACCGUCGUCUGCACGGCUCCGCUUGCUGAGAUCAUUGGGAGCCGAGACGCCUCUUGCCGAGUAGCCAAGUGGGCUAUUGAUCUAGCCCCUUACACCAUCUACUACCAGCCUCGCACCGCCAUCAAGUCACAAGUGUUGGCCGACUUCCUCCUCGACUGGGCCGAGACCCAGUAUUUGCCGCCUGCACUAGACUCCACCCAUUGGUGGAUGCAUUUUGAUGGUUCAAAAAUGCGCGCCGGUCUGGGAGCCAGCAUCGUCCUCACCUCUCUCAAGGGUGACAAGCUCAAAUCCGUGCUGCAAGUCCACUUCGCCGCCUCCAACAACGUAGCUGAAUAUGAGGCACUCAUACACGGGCUCCGGCUUGCCAAGGAACCCGGAAUCCACGGAUCCUGUGCUAUGGUGACUCCGACUUGGUGGUCAAGCGGUCGUCAGGCGACUGGGACGCCAAGGAUGCAAACAUGGCAAGCUACCGCUUCCUCGUGCAGUAACUCAGUGGAUACUUUGACGGGUGCGAGUUCCUUCACGUGCCAAGAAACGACAACAAGCAAGCAGAUGCCUUGGCACGGAUUGGCUCCACCCGACAAGCAAUACCAGCCGGCGUCGCCCUACGCCGCCUUCUCAAGCCGUCGGUCAAGCCGUCUCCUGAUUCAGACUCCAUCUUUGUGCCGGCCCCUCCCGAAGCAGUCGGAUCCGACUUGACGGUCCCAGAGGCCCGCACAGGGAUUUCGACAGGCGGCCCAGGGACUGCUGCAGCCACACUUGGCUCAGGGACUCCAGAGCCCGGCCCGGGGACUUCAGCAGUUGGCCCAGGGACUUCUUCAGCACAGCAAGCGAAAGCAGCUGCCAACCCGCCACCUCCCGGCCCAACUGCCCUCAUACAAGUUGCAGUGGUGGUUGUCGAAGAAAUUGCAGCACCAUCUUGGGCUCAGCCAAUCCUCAAGUUCUUGGUGAAUAAAGAGCUGCCGACUGAUGAGAUCUCGGCCCGACAAGUGCAAAGGCGAGUAGCAGCCUACACCAUAGUCAACAGAGAGCUAGUGCGACGAAGCGUCACCGGGGUUUAUCAGCUUUGCGUGGAGCUGGACCAAGGCCAAGCAAUACUCAGGGAUAUCCACCAAGGCGAGUGUGGCCACCACGCGUCUUCAAGAUCACUUGUGGCCAAGGCUUUUCGCCAUGGGUUCUUCUGGCCGACUGCUCUUGAAGAAGCCAAAGAACUAGUUCAGAAGUGUCAAGGGUGCCAGAGGUUUCGCUCCAAGCCACAUCUGCCGGCCUCUGCACUCAAGACCAUUCCCAUAGCAUGGCCCUUUGCUGUCUGGGGGCUGGACAUGGUAGGACCAUUCAAGACGGCCCGUGGUGGCAUGACUCAUUUGCUUGUCGCUAUGGACAAGUUCACCAAGUGGAUAGAGGCAAAACCAAUCAAGAAACCGAAUGGACCGACUGGCGUGACCUUCAUCGCCGACAUCACCACGCGAUACGACAUACCACAUAGCAUCAUCACCGACAACGGCACCAACUUUGCCAAGGGAGCCUUGGCGCAUUUCUAUGCAACGCAGGGCAUCUGCCUGGACUUAGCGUCCGUUGCCCACCUGCAGUCAAAUGGCCAAGUUGAGCGUGCAAACGGCCUCAUUCUGUCCGGCCUCAAGCCCCAACUGGUCGAGCCUCUGGAGCAUUCGGUCGACUGCUGGCUCAAUGAGCUGCCGGCCAUCCUCUGGAGCUUGCGCACAACUCCGAACAAGUCAACCGGCUUCACGCCCUUCUUCCUCGUCUACGGUGCCGAAGUCGUCAUCCCGACAAACAUCAAGUUCGACUCCCCAAGAGUAACCAUGUACACCGAGGCAGACGCCAAGGAGGCGCGAGAAGACGACGUCAACUUGUUGGAGGAAGGCCGGCUGUUGGCACUCAGCAGGUCAGCCAUCUACCAGUAGAGUCUGCGCCGAUACUACAACCGCAAGGUGAAGCGAAGAGCCUUCCUAGAGGGAGACCUUGUGCUCCGGCUGAUCCAGUGAACAGCCGGACAGCACAAGCUCUCGGCACCUUGGGAAGGCCCUUUCAUCAUCAGCAAGGUGCUGGGCAACGAUUCCUACUAUCUGAUCGAUGCCCAGAAGCCCAGAGCGUGCAAGAGAGAUGAUUCAGGCAAAGAGACGGAGAGGCCAUGGAACACAAACCUGCUCCAAAGGUUUUACAGUUGAAAGCAGUAUGUAUCACGCUACCUUUUGUACUAUGUAUAAAGACUUCGGGUCCCCCGAGAAGAGCUCGGGGACUACCCUCUUUUAUCUAUAUGAUAAGUGUUGUACCUAUAAGUAUGUGUAGUUUUAUUUCUUCCGCCUGGCACCGGGUUCGACCAGUCGGCCCAGAGCCUCGUCGCCUUCUGCUAUAUGCCACCUCCUGUAGCCGGACAAGUAGUGUGUCGGCACCAAAAACUUCCUUUGUCAGAAGCCACAGCUCGCAGAGCGACUGCAUGGCGGGCAAAGGUUGCAAAACAGUGCCCCACACGAAAAACGACUAAGGAAGGAACGGAUAUAGUAGAGGUCGGCAUUGCACCUAGUCGUCCGGCUGCCGAGCAGCCGGCCGGCCGGCCUAUGCUUUUAUUACCAAACGCUCUGAAUGGCUAAGUACUAGCCCUCCCACAAACAGCUAAAAGUACUCAACCCAGUCGCAGUCCACAGAGCGGCUGCUUGGUCGGCAAGAGGAUAGCCAAGGGAGGGCGGCAAAGGAAAAAACCAAGGAGCAAAAGGGAAGAAAAGCUAGGGGUCGACACAGAGCAAUCAUAGAAUAUUUACAAGGAUAAAGGCCUACCGGCCGACAUUCAAACAAAGUUCGACAUACACCCCGCGGGUGGAACUGAAAUUUAACCAAGUUGUCCAAAACUCUAGUAAAACAGGGGAAAAGAGAAAAUCCUAAGGAGCAGCAGAAGGUUCCGGCUGGGCGGUGCCAGUUGGCGCAGCAGAAGGCUCCGGCUGAAUGCUGGAGUCGGCUGUGCCACCUGACGCGGCAGGCGGCUCCGUUUGCGCAGAAGAAUCGGCGGCGACAGUCAGGACGGCGGAGGGCUGGAGGACGGAGUCAGUGGAAUCCGUCCGAGGAACGGGUGGCUGGUCGAUUCCCGCCUGGCCGUCUCUAGUAACAGUCGGCGCCCCGGUGCACGGCUCGUUGCUUGAGGCCCGGUCAGGCUGGGGCUGACAAUUGAUAACCCACAAGUAUAGGGGAUCGCAACAGCUUUCGAGGGUAGAGUAUUCAACCCAAGUUUAUUGAUUUGACACAAGGGGGAGCCAAAGAAUAUUCUUUAGUAUUAGCAACGCAGUUGUCAAUUCAACCACACCUGGAUAACUUAGUAUCUGCAGCAAAGUAUUUAGUAGCAAAAGUGGUAUGAUAGUAAUGGUAACAGUAGCAAUAGUAAAGAUAAAUGUUUUUGGGUUUUUGUAGGAGUUGUAAUAGUAGCAACAAAAAAGUAAAUAAGCAAAGAACAAUAUAUGAAAAGCUCGUAGGCAAUGGAUCAGUGAUGGAUAAUUAUGCCGGAUGCGAUUCCUCAUGCAAUAGUUAUAACAUAGGGUGAUAUAGAACUAGCUCCAGUUCAUCAAUGUAAUGUAGGCAUGUAUUCCGUAAAUAGUCAUACGUGCUUAUGGAAAAGAACUUGCAUGACAUCUUUUGUCCUACCCUCCCGUGGCAGCGGGGUCCUAGUGAAAACUAAGGGAUAUUAAGGCCUCCUUUUAAUAGAGAACUGGACCAAAGCAUUAACACAUGGCGAAUACAUGAACUCCUCAAACUACGGUCAUCACCGAGAAGUGUCCCGAUUAUUGUCACUUCGGGGUUGUCGGAUCAUAACACAUAAUAGGUGACUAUAGGCUUGCAAGAUAGGAUCAAGAACACACAUAUAUUGAUGAAAACAUAAUAGGUUCAGAUCUGAAAUCAUGGCACUCAGGCCCUAGUGACAAGCAUUAAGCAUAGCAAAGUCAUAGCAACAUCAAUCUCAGAACAUAGUGGAUACUAGGGAUCAAACACUAACAAAACUGACUUGAUUACAUGGUAAAUCUCAUCCAACCCAUCACCGUCCAGCAAGCCUACGAUGGAAUUACUCACACACGGCGGUGAGCAUCAUGAAAUUGGUGAUGGAGGAUGGUUGAUGAUGACGACGGCGAUGAAUCCCCCUCUCCGGAGCCCUGGACGAACUCCAGAUCAGCCCUCCCGAGAGAGAUUAGGGCUUGUGGGCGGCUCCGUAUCGUAAAACGCGAUGAAACUUUCUCCCUCAUUUUUUCCUCCGCGAGACGGUAUAUAUGGAGUUGGAGUUGAGGUCGGAGGAGGUCCUGGGGGCCCACGAGAUAGGGGGCGCGCCCUAGGGGGGCGCCCCCCUGUCUCGUGGAUAGGCCUUGGGCCCACUGGCCCUGAUUCUUUCGCCAAAAAUUCUUAUUAAUUCUGAAAAGUCCCUCCGUGGAUUUGCAGGUCAUUUCGAGAACAUUUCUUUUCUACACAUAAAACAACAUCAUGGUAGUUCUGCUGAAAACAGCGUCAGUCUGGGUUAGUUUCAUCCAAAUCAUGCAAGUUAGAGUCCAAAACAAGGGCAAAAGUGUUUGGAAAAGUAGAUACGUUGGAGACGUAUCAACUCCCCCAAGCUUAAACCUUUGCUUGUCCUCAAUCAAUUCAGUUGAUAAACUGAAAGUGAAAAAGAAAAACUUUUACAAACUCUGUUUGCUCUUGUUGUUGUAAACAUGAAAAGCCAGCAUUCAAGUUUCAGCAAAUAUUAUGAACUAACCAUACUCACAAUAACACAUAGGUCUCACAAUUACUCAUAUCAAUAACAUAAUCAGCUAGUGAGUCAUAAUAAUAUAACUCGGAUGACAACACUUUCUCAAAAUAAUCAUAACAUGAUAUAACAAAAUGGUAUCUCGCUAGCCCUUUCUGAGACCGCAAAACAUAAAUGCAGAGCACCUUUAAAGAUCAAGGACUGACUAAAUAUUGUAAUUCGUGGUAAAAGAGAUCCAGUCAAGUCAUACCCAAUAUAAACCAAUAAUAAUGAAUGCAAAUGACAGUGCGCUCUUCAGCGGGUGCUUUUAAUAAGAAGGGUGAUGACUCAACAUAAAAGUAAAUAGAUAGGCCCUUUGCAGAGGGAAGCAGGGAUUUGUAGAGGUGCCAGAGCUCGAUUUAAAAUAGAGAUUGAAUAACAUUUUGAGCGGCAUACUUUUGCUGUCAACGCAACACCUAUGAGAUGGUUGUAUCUUCCACACUAAAUGCAUUAUAGGCAGUUCCCUAACAGAAUGGUAAAGGUUUAUACUCCCCCAACCACCAACAAGCAUCAAUCCAUGGCUUGCUCGAAACAACGAGUGCCUCCAACAUACAACAACCCUGGGGGAGUUUUGUUUAAUUAUUUUGAUUUGCUUUGAUCUUUUUGGAUCAUGGGACUGGGCAUCCCGGUUACCGGCCCUUUCUUGUGAAUGAGGAGCGGAGUCCACUCCUCUGAGAAUAACCCACCUAGCAUGGAAGAUAUAGGCAGCCCUAGUUGUUACAGGAGCUGCUCGAGCAUACAAAAUAGAAUUUCAUUUGAAGGUUUGGAGUUUGGCACAUACAAAUUUACUUGGAACGGCAGGUAGAUACCGCAUAUAGGAAGGUAUAAUGGACUCAUAUGGAACAACUUUGGGGUUUAAGGAGUUUGGAUGCACAAGCAGUAUUCCCGCUUAGUACAGGUGAAGGCUAGCAAAAGACUGGGAAGCGACCAGCUGAGAGAUCGACAACAGUCAUAAGCAUGCAUUAAAAUUAAUUCACACGAAGUACAAGCAUGAGUAGGAUAUAAUCCACCAUGAACAUAAAUAUCGUGAAGGCUAUGUUGAUUUGAUUCAACUACAUGCGUGAACAUGUGCCAAGUCGAGUCACUCAAUUCAUUUAAAGGAGGGUACCAUCCCAUCAUACCACAUCAUAAUUAUUCUAAUAGCAUGUUGGCAUGCAAGGUAAACCACUAUAACUCAUAGCUAAUCAAGCAUGGCACAAGUAACUAUAAUCUCUAAAUGUCAUUGCAAAUAUGUUUACUUCAUAAUAGCUGACUCAGGAAUGAUGAAUCAUCAUAUUUACAAAAACAAGAGAGGUCGAGUUCAUACCAGCUUUUCUCAUCCCAAUAAGUCCAUCAUAUAUCAUCAUUAUUGCCUUUCACUUGCACGACCGAACGAAGUGUAUAAUAAUAAGAUUGUACGUGCAUUGGACUAAGCUGGAAUCUGCAAGCAUUCAACUCAAGAGAGAAGACAGGUAAUAUGGGCUCCAAAUAUAAAUAAUCAAUCAUGCAUAUGAGAGCCACUAAGCAUUUUCAAUAUGGUCUUCUCGACCCCCAGAGGAAAGAAAAGAAAAUAAAACUAUUUACACGGGAAAGCUCCCAACAAGUAAAAGAAGAAUAAGAAAUCUUUUUGGAUUUUCAUUUUAAUUUCUACUACAAGCAAGGAAAUUAAACUAACUAAUUUUUUUGGUUUUUCUCAAGGUUUAUCAAACACACAAGAAAAAGACUAGAAAAAGGAAAUUUAAACUAGCAAGGAUAAUACAACGAAAGAGUAUGAGCAUCGACGACUAGUGUGUGAACAUGAAUGUAAAGUCGGUGAGAAAUACGUACUCCCCCAAGCUUAGGCUUUUGGCUUAAGUUGGUUUAAUACCAAGGACCACCGCUACUCUCUCCGGUGUAAUGAGAGGUGUAAUCAGGAUACCACUGGUUGGUCAUCUUCAGAUCCCACUAGACAGAUGAUGCACGAUAGGGGUCCAGCUCAGGUUCCGGUUCAGGUUCUGGAGUAAAAGCUUGAGCUCGAUGAUUGUUUACCGCCUCCGGUGUGACCAGAAAUUUUUCUGCAAGCAAAUCAAACAACAGAGGUGCAGGCAAGAUAAUAAUCUCAAAGUGUUUCUUAUUGAAUCUAAGUUUAUACAAGAGCAUCCCAUCUUUGUUAUCAACAAUAAACUUAUGCGGUACCAUGCUCUUGUAAUCUAAAAUGUGAGGAGGCAGUUUUGUCUCCUUUUCCUCAUGGUGCCUAAUGGGUAUCUGAAAAUGUUUAGCAAGACGUGCAGCAUAGAUACCACCAAAUAUGGGAACUUUUGUAUGAUUAAGGGCUAGCCGUUUAGCAACGACGACACCCAUAUUAAAACUAUUGUCUCCAAGCAAAGCAUGUUGAAGCAUGAUAAUAUCAGGAACACUCAAGUUUCCACUAUUCCCACGACCAAUCAAGCAUCUACUAGCAAAUAUGGUAAAGUAGCGUAAAACAGGAAAGUGUAUGCUAGAGACUUUUGCUUUGGAACCCUUCUUUGGCUCUUCUACAGCAAUAAUAUUAACAAAGCCAGCCACAUCUUCACGAUGGGGUUCCUCUAGUUCUCCCUCAUAAGGUAUCCUACAUACCGUGCAAAAAUGAAGUAAAGACAUUUCUUUGAACUCGUCAUAUAAAUAAAAUGAUACUUCAGGCAGUGACUUCUUAGGAUAAAAAUAAAAGUUUUGCACGAAAGUAUUGGUGAGUAAGAGAUACUGAUCGAUUCGGUCGUUGAUGAAACCAGUGAGGCCUGCAGUCUCGAUUAAAGCAUAAAAGUCUUCAUAAAUUCCAGCCUCACUCAAGAAAUCAUCACAUGGCCAUUCACACGGUUGUACUUCCGCUAAGCGAGGAAGAUUAUACUUGACUUUUCCUUCUCUUUAGCUUGUUUUUCUUGGGAACUUUGGCUAGAAGAGCCCCUCAAAAGUUUCCUCAACAUUUUCUGAAAAUUUCUGAAAUUUUAGUAACUUCAAAAUAAAAGUGCAUAAAACUAAACAAGAUUGAUAGCAACUACUCCUACAAGUGCCUAGAGCCCAUAUCAUGCAUUAGAAUUACUUGGGACCUCAAAAAUUUAACAUACAAGCUCAAGAACAGGGUCACCAAGACAACAAGGAUUUGCAAUGAAUAAAGCAAUAGAACAAAAACUAAUUGGACCAAUGGAGGAGUCACAUACCAAGCAACAAUCUCCCAAAGCAGUUUUGUGAAUGGAGCUUUGAGCUAAGAGAUCAAAAAUCGCAGCAAAACGAGCUAGAACUCGUGCUUGAGCUGGAUGGGGAUUUUUUGGGUAGAAGAUGGAGUGUGUGGGUGCUGGCAUAAGUGGAGGGGAGCCACCAGGGGCCCACGAGAUAGGGGGGCGCGACAGGGGGGCGCGCCCUACAUGGGGGGCGCCCUACAGGGGGGGGUGCGCCCUCCUCUCUCAUGGCCUGGUGCUUGCCCCUUUUGCAGUGUUUUCAGUGCCUAAAAUCCUCAAAUAUUCCAGAAAAAAUCAUACUAAAUUUGCAGGGCAUUUGGAGCACUUUUAUUUUCGAACUAUUUUUUAUUGCACGGAUAAUUUAGAAAACAGACGGAUAAUACUAUUUUUGCUUUAUUAAAUCUAAAUAACAGAAAGUAAAAAGAGGGUACAGAAGGUUGUGCCUUCUAGUUUCGUCCAUCUCGUGGUCAUCAAAAUGAACCCGCUAACAAGGUUGAUCAAGUCUUGUUAACAAACUCAUUCCGAAUAACACGGAACCGGAGAAAUUUCCAAUGACACUAAGUUACCUCAACGGGGAUAUGAAAAUCCCCAACAAUAAUAAUAUCAUACUUUUUCUUGACAGUAGGGAGAGGAAAUUCAAAACCUCCAAAAAUGAUAGUUGGAACUUUUUCAAUAGAAUUGAUGCUAUGAACUUGAGAUUGUUUCCUCGGAAAGUGUAUCAUAUGCUCAUUGCCAUUAACAUGAAAAGUGGCAUUGCCUUUGUUGCAAUCAAUAAAAGCCCCUGUAGUAUUAAGAAAAGGUCUACCAAGGAUAAUAGACAUACUAUCGUCCUCGGGAAUAUCAAGAAUAACAAAGUCCAUUAAGAUAGUGACAUUUGCAACCACAACAGGCACAUCCUCACAAAUACCGACAGGUAUAGCAGUUGAUUUAUCAGCCAUUUGCAAAGAUAUUUCAGUAGGUGUCAACUUAUUCAAUUCAAUUCUACGAUAUAAACAGAGAGGCAUAACACUAACACCGGCUCCAAGAUCACAUAAAGCAGUUCUAACAUAAUUUCUUUUAAUGGAGCAUGGUAUAGUUGGAACACCCGGAUCUCCAAGUUUCUUUGGUAUUCCACCCUUAAAUGUGUAAUUAGCAAGCAUGGUGGAAAUUUUAGCUUCCGGUAUCUUUCUUUUAUUUGUGAUGAUAUCCUUCAUGUAUUUAGCAUAUGGAUUUACUUUAAGCAUAUCAGUUAAGCCCAUACGUAAGAAAAUAGGUCUAAUCAUUUCAGCAAAGCGCUCAAAAUCUUCAUCAUCCUUUGACUUGGAUGGUUUAGGAGGAAAGGGCAUGGGUUUCUGAACCCAUGGUUCUCUUUCUUUACCGUGCUUCCUAGCAACAAAAUCUAUCUUAUCAUAACAUUGGUUUCUUGAUUGUGGGUUAUCAAGAUCAAUAGCGGGUUCAAUCUCUACAUCAUUGUUAUUACUAGGUUGAGCAUCAACAUGAACAUUGUCAUUAGCAUUAUCAUCAGGUUCAUGUUCAUCACCUAAUUGCGUUUCAGCAUCAGAAAUAGAAAUAUAAUUGGGAUUCUCAGGUGUGUCUGUAAUAGGUUCACUAGAAGUUUGCAAAGUCCUAUCAUUCUUCUUUUUCUUCUUCUUCUUAGAAGAACUAGGAACAUCUAGAUUAUUUCUCUGAGAAUCUUGCUCGAUUCUCUUAGGGUGGCCUUCAGGAUACAAAGGUUCCUGAGUCAUUCUACUAGUUCUAGUAGCCACUCUUACAGCAAAGUCAUUUUUAUUAUUCAAUUCCUCAAGCAAAUCAAUUUGAGCUUUGAGUACUUGCUCAUCUUGAGUAGCAACCAUAGAAGCAUAUUUACUAACGCGGUGAAGUUCAUCUUUAACUCUAGCCAGAUUAUCACCUACGCGUCCUAUCUCGAAAGCAUUAUUCUUUAACUCUCUACCAACAUAAGCAUUAAAACUUUCUUGUCUAGCCAUAAAGUCAUCAAAUUCAUCUAAGCAUGGGCUAUGAAAUUUAGUAGAGGGUAUUUCAACUUUAUCAUAUCUAUAGGGAGAAUUUACCUUUACUACCUGUGUCGGGUUAUCAAGACAAUGUAGUUCUUCAAGCGGUAUAUUAAGACCAUGUAUUUCUUCAAUAGGAGGUAAAUUCUUAACAUCUUCAGCUUUAAUGCCUUUUUCUUUCAUUGAUUUCUUUGCCUCUUGCAUAUCUUUAGGACUGAGAAAUAAAACACCUCUCUUCUUCGGAGUGGGUUUAGGAAUAGGCUCAGGAGUUGGCUCAAUUGGUUCAGGAAUUACUUCAGGAACUGGCUUGGGAAGAGUCCAAUUAUUUUCAUUAGUCAACAUAUUAUUCAACAGUAUUUCAACUUCGUAGACUGUUCUUUCCCUGAAAACACAACCAGCACAACUAUCCAAGUGGUCCUUGGAAGCAUCGGUUAGUCCAUUAUAAAAGAUAUCAAGUAUUUCAUUUUUCUUAAGAUGAUGAUCAGGCAAGGCAUAAAGCAACCGGAGAAGCCUCCCCCAAGCUUGUGGGAGACUCUCUUCUUUGGUUUGCACAAAAUUAUAUAUUUCCCGCAAGGCAGCUUGUUUCUUAUGAGCAGGGAAAUAUUUAGCAGAGAAGUAAUAAAUCAUAUCCUGGGGACUACGCACACAACCAGGAGCAAGAGAAUUAUACCAAGUCUUAGCAUCACCCUUUAAUGAGAAUGGAAAUAUCUUAAGGAUAUAUAAAUAGCGAGACUUCUCAUCAUGAGUAAAUAGGGUGGCUAUAUCAUUCAACUUGGUAAGAUGUGCCACAAAAGUUUCAGAUUCAAGGCCAUAAAAAGGAUCAGAUUCAACUAAAGUAAUAAUAUCAGGAUCAACAGAGAAUUCAUAAUCCUUAUCAGUAACACAGAUAGGUGAAGUAGCAAAAGUAGGAUCGGGUUUCAUUCUAGCAUUAAGAGACUGCUGCUUCCAUUUAGCUAAUAAUUUCUUAAGAUCAUUUCUAUGAUUGUAAGCAAGAAUAGCUUCAGCAACUUCUUUGUUCAUAACAUAACCCUUAGGAACAAUAGGUAAUACAUAAUCAUUGGGGGAACGUUCAUCCUCACUAUCAUCAAUAAUAGGUUCUUCAACAUUUUCAUUCCCCCUAACUCUAGCAAGUUGUUCAUCAAGAAAUUCACCUAAUGGCAAGUAGUAUCACGCACAGAAGUAGUUUCAUCAUAAGUAUCAUGCAAAGCAGAAGUGGCAUCAUCAAUAACAUGCGACAUAUCAGAAUUGAUAGCAGUAGCAGGUUUAGGUGUCGCAAGCCUAUCAAUAAUGGAAGGAGAAUCUAGUGCAGAGCUAGAUGGCAAUUCCUUACCUCCCCUCGUAGUUGAGGGCAAAAUCUUGGUCUUAGCGUCUUUCAAGUUCUUCAUAGUGAUCAACAGAUAUAAAUCCCAAGUGACUCAGAGAAUAGAGCUAUGCUCCCCGGCAACGGCGCCAGAAAUUAGUCUUGAUAACCCACAAGUAUAGGGGGUCGCAACAGCUUUCGAGGGUAGAGUAUUCAACCCAAAUUUAUUGAUUCGACACAAGGGGAGCCAAAGAAUAUUCUUGAGUAUUAGCAGUUGAGUUGUCAAUUCAACCACACCUGGAUAACUUAGUAUCUGCAGCAAAGUAUUUAGUAGCAAAAGUGGUAUGAUAGUAAUGGUAACAGUAGCAAUAGUAAAGAUAAAUGUUUUUGGGUUUUUGUAGGAGUUGUAAUAGUAGCAACGAAAAAGUAAAUAAGCAAAGAACAAUAUAUGAAAAGCUCGUAGGCAAUGGAUAAGUGAUGGAUAAUUAUGCCGGAUGCGAUUCCUCAUGCAAUAGUUAUAACAUAGGGUGAUAUAGAACUAGCUCCAGUUCAUCAAUGUAAUGUAGGCAUGUAUUCCGUAAAUAGUCAUACGUGCUUAUGGAAAAGAACUUGCAUGACAUCUUUUGUCCUACCCUCCCGUGGCAGCGGGGUCCUAGUGAAAACUAAGGGAUAUUAAGGCCUCCUUUUAAUAGAGAAUCGGACCAAAGCAUUAACACAUGGCGAAUACAUGAACUCCUCAAACUACGGUCAUCACCGAGAAGUGUCCCGAUUAUUGUCACUUCGGGGUUGUCGGAUCAUAACACAUAAUAGGUGACUAUAGGCUUGCAAGAUAGGAUCAAGAACACACAUAUAUUGAUGAAAACAUAAUAGGUUCAGAUCUGAAAUCAUGGCACUCGGGCCCUAGUGAAAAGCAUUAAGCAUAGCAAAGUCAUAGCAACAUCAAUCUCAGAACAUAGUGGAUACUAGGGAUCAAACCCUAAGAAAACUAACUUGAUUACAUGGUAAAUCUCAUCCAACCCAUCACCGUCCAGCAAGCCUAGGAUGGAAUUACUCACACAUGGCGGUGAGCAUCAUGAAAUUGGUGAUGGAGGAUGGUUGAUGAUGACGACGGCGACGAAUCCCCCUCUCCGGAGCCCCGAACGGACUCCAGAUUAGCCCUCCCGAGAGAGAUUAGGGCUUGGCAGCGGCUCAGUAUCGUAAAACACGAUGAAACUUUCUCCUUGAUUUUUUUCUCCGUGAGACGGUAUAUAUGGAGUUGGAGUUGAGGUCGGAGGAGGUCCGGGGGGGCCACGAGAUAGGGGGGCGCGCCCCCCUUUCUCGUGGACUGUCCUUGGGCCCCCUGGCCCUGAUUCUUUCGCCAAAAAUUCUUAUUAAUUCUGAAAAGUCCCUCCGUGGAUUUGCAGGUCAUUCCGAGAACUUUUCUUCUCUACACAUAAAACAACAUCAUGGUAGUUCUGCUGAAAACAGCGUCAGUCCGGGUUAGUUUCAUUCAAAUCAUGCAAGUUAGAGUCCAAAACAAGGGCAAAAGUGUUUGGAAAAGUAGAUACGUUGGAGACGUAUCAACCGUCCACCCCGACCUCCGGCAGGUCGAUGUUGCUCUCCUCCUCCUCCUCCUCCCCUUCUUCCCCUUCAUCGUUGGAGUCGAUGACUUCAGCUGAAUCUUUGCUAUCCUCCGGGUUCAGCCAAGCCACUCCUGCGGCGCUUCGGCGCCUUCCUCGACCACCUCCGGGACGAAGACGCUGGUAUCGUGAAGUCAGCAAUCGCCGCAGCCAUGUUGUUGAGUUCAGCUUCCACCACCGCCAGCUCCUCCUGCGCCUCCAGCCGGAACAUGGUCAACUGGGCUAGGUCUAGCCUAGGGUACCAUGCCUUGACGAAUUCCAAGGCCCGACGCGCUCCUGCCCGGGCUGCUGAGCCUUUCCAGGCUUCCAGGCGGCCGGCCGCCACCUCCAGCUAGUCAGCAGUCCGGCUUGGAGUGCGUGGGGCCGGCAAGCCUGCCCAGAGGGCGGAAACCUCCUGGGCGCCGACGCAUUGAAGGCGGCGCAGCAUUUGAUGGGCAGGCCGAAGGCGGGCCUGGAUGCUAAGGACCUGCUCACCAAGAGUCCGGGGGGGGGCGUCAGUAGCAAUUUGCACGCCCUCUGCCCUUAGCUCCUCGCGCUGGGCCUUGAUCAUCUGGAUCGCAGUGACAGAAUGGCCCGGGAAGAAGCCUGCUUGGGCAGAAGAAAGAAAAAAACCAAAGUUAUAAGCAAGGGAUCGGCCUAGAUGAGGGCCGACAGUUCGAAACGAGAAACCAAGAGAAUGAGGCCUACCGUCGACCAAGUCUUCAAUGCUGCUGAAGCAGGCCAUCAUCUAGGCUUCCUUGUCGGCCCAGGAGGAAUGCUCGACUUCAAACUCGGCGAGGAGGUCAGCCUCCUUCGUCUUCACCUUCAACUGGGCCGCCUUGAGGGCCUCCGCCUGUUCGGCAAGCUGAGCGACCAGGCGGUCCCGCUCUUCGGCCAGCUUGCCGCAUUCCGCCUCCUUGUCCCAGAGGGCGGUGUUGGCUUCGCCCAGCUGCUGCUGCAAGGCGGCGUUGGCCUCUAAAGAAAGAAAGAGAAGGAAGAACUUCAGUCAAAUAAUAAAGAAGGAUGCAGAUAACUGGGGUGAUUCGGCCCGACUGCUCAGCAGUCGGCCCGAACCUCGGGGACUACACCCCGCGGGUGCGCUGUCGCGCCCCUACAGAAGAAAGGAACAGAAUCUUACUUCGGCUCUUGGACAGAUGGCCGGUCUGCGUCUCCAGCUCCUGGACCCUGGAGUUGUAGGCGACUACGCGGAGGUUGUGGUAGUCCUGCAGAGGGGAACAUUAGACAAGAUCAACAUUUUAACUCCGACAAGAUGAAGUUCCGGACCGCCUGCUCAACAGCCGACCCGAAACUUGGGGACUACACCCAGUGGGUGUGCUAGCGCACCCCCAUGAAAGUUGAAAGAAGAUCAAAGAAAUGAAGAAGCAGGAAGCUUAUGCGGAUAGCAGCUCGCGAUUCCAGGAACGUCUCGUUGCAGCGCCUGAGGGCUUCGGCUUCGGCCCGAAGCUUGGCCUGGACGUCGAGGGACGCCCGGUUUAGGGCACCCGUCCCGCCUCCACGCACCCAGCCAGUCGGCGCGGCGAUGGACGCCUCGGUCUCGGGGAUCGAUGAGCUCGCGGCUCCGGUCUCCAGCGGCCGCGGCGCUGAGGCCGCCUUCUAAAGACAGCGGCGCACGGGUGUGCGGACCUGAGGAGUUAGGUCUGUUACCACCACCUUCUCAACCGGUGGCACUGGCGGCUCGGCCGGCUACUCGACCUACGCUUCGCUAGUCGGUGGCGAUGGCGGCACGAAGACAUCAGGCAUGGCCACGUCGCCGCCCUCCCUCUCCAUGACCGGGUGCUCCUCGCCGGCUCCCCGGUCGUUGCUUCGAACUCCGGUGGAGGUGGCGCGGUGUUCAGUGGCGUCACAAGCAGCGUCUCCUGGCGACGUGCGGCCUCCACGAGCCGCUCCCUCUCCACGGCUUCGGCCUCUGCCUACGCCAGCCUCCUCGCUGCGGAGGCUGCAGCCUUGUCCGCCUCCGCCUUCGCCAGGCGGUCGGCCUCUUUGUCACGCGCCUCCUGCGCGUUCCGCUCUAUCGCCUCUCGGAGGUCGGCAGCCGGAUCGAUCCACCGGCUGGUGGAGGAGGUUGUCUCGACCUGAUGACCGAGGCGGCGCCUGACUUCUCGAGGGUGAAAGGGGCCAUGAGAUAUGAAGACACGACAAGGAAUUUAAUUUUGGCCAGAUCGACAGAAGGAGUGAAGUCUAGAGAAAGACACUUACGCCGACACCAUGACGGGCACCUUCGGCUGCCUCGGAUACUUGGCCGCCUUGGCUGCGGCCUCUUGCCGCCUGGUCGCUGCGGCCGGGUUCUUGGGUUUCUUCGACGCGCUGGCAAACAGGGCAGCGCCUUGCUUUCGUUUAUGCUUGCCGCCGCAGGCGGGCGGCCCAGCGGAGGGACCGGCGCCCGUGUUGGCCGUACUCUGAGUGGGGUGUGGCUCGUCCUCGUCAUCAUCGUCGUCGGGCCAGGUCUCCAGGCCGCCGCCUUCCUUGGUGCCACCCGCUCCGCCGUCGUCGGCGCCUGUUGCAUCGUCCGCCAGGGCGGCCUCCCCCAAGUCGGGGUCAUCCUCGUCACUCACCGCUCUGUCUGGGUGGUAGUCACCACCCGGCCCCACGAUGGCGGCCGCCGCCUCGGACAUGUAAAUCUGUGCUCAAGAGAGGAGUCGAAUCAUAAGAAGAGCAAGACCCAAAGACAAAUCUAAAGGAAGAAAUCGAAGGACUUAUGGCAGGCGGCGAAUUGUGGCGGGAGUACGGCCGCUUCCCGUACUGCCAGUUUUCCUCCGACAUCUUGAGGUCGGAGAUCUUGUUCACCAUCCGCGCGACCUCGGCAAGCGGCAUCCCCUUCGUGCAUAGCCGGCACGGGUCGCGAUGCCCGCCCAUCUGGAAGAUCGGAUGAGGGCGGCUCUAGAGCAGGAGGAUCCGGCGCUCGACAAAGGCGACGAGGAGGUCGGAGGCCACGAGGCCCUCUGGCUCUUGGAGCACCAGGAGUCGGCCGAUGGCGGCCGCCGCAUCCGCCGACACCGGCUUCGGCUUGUACCCCCAGUUGGGCCGGAGCCCGGUGGGGGGGCGGCCUCGUUGGCGGCAGGUUGAGGAAGUUGGUAGCAGGAUCUAUGCUCUCGAUGUAGAAUUAGGACUGCUGCCACAUCUUCAUCGACUGGGCCAGCUUGAUGGUGGGGAAGGCAUUCCGCUUCGCCGGCCGGCGCACGGCGACGUAGCCCCCGCACUCGGCCGGCGUGUCCUUGCGGAGGUGCCAAGCUUCCCGUAGAAGAACGCUCCCCAUAGCUCGAUCAUGGGGAGGAUGCCGAUGUAGCCCUCGCACGCCGUGACCAAGGCGGAGAGCAGGCUCACGGAAUUGGGCGUCAGAUGGUGAGGUUGGAGAUGGUUGAAGUCGAGGAAUGAGCGGAAGAAGCCGCUCGCCGGGAGGCCGAAGCCGCGGAGGAAGUGCGAGUGGAAGACGACCCACUCGUCCCCUUGCGGCGCCGGUGAGAUCUCCGUCUCCAGCGGCACCCGCGCCUUGACGAAUGCCGCGCUGGGCACCCGGCGCAUGUCGCUAAGGAAGGUGAUAUGGUCCUCGAUGACCAUCGAGCCGUCCCAGUCGCCGCCCUUCUCACGCGCCAUGGCGGGCGGAGCUGCGGGAGGGGCGAGAGCGUGACGGCGGCGGCGGCAGCACUACGGCCGGCAAGGAGCAGUGACAGCAGCUACGAUGGAGAGUGCACGAGGAGGAAGAAGAAGUGGGAGGGGGCGCACGUGCCUCGCCGCACCCCUCCUUCCCCCUACUUAUAGCCCCUGAUCUAUGAAGCCGAGGGGACAGGGCGUGGGAUGCGGGAUUAACUGCGCCCACGCACCCAUGUCCCCACGAUCUCCACGCAGACUAACUGCGCAGUGAAUGACCGCGGGAAUCGCAACUGCCCGCCUCGGCGCAGUGGAUCCGCUCAUGCGCCAAGGCCCGGUAGUGGCGGGCCCGGCCCACUGUCACGUCCCAUCGGGCGCAUGGGGUGGCAGGAUGGCCGGGCUGGCGGGCGCCGCGUGGCGCCCCUACAAUGGGCGGCGGUCUGAGGAAGCUUAGCAGGCAUGCCACCUAUUCUCCCGCCGUGAAGUUCAAAAUUGGCCGACGACCCCGCCUUGUCGAGGCCGGCCUCCGAAGCCGGCGCGCCACAAGACGGACCAAGAUGGCAGUGCACUGCAAAGCGAAUCAUAGCACUCUCAGGAGCUCGGUGAGGGGGGAAGCCGCUGAGUCUUCACGGCCCCUCGACCGCGACGCCUCGCCGGCUUCGGGGACUACUGUCGGAGUAAUGGGCCACGGGUAGCCUCACCCAGUUCCCAAGACUUAUCAAGACUUUGGGCCGGCUCCGCCUGGCUGGGCCCCAAGCUGAAGCUCCGCCCUCUGGGGAGCAGCUGGCUAGACGGCCGGCUACCAGAGGGCGGCCAACCCCAGCCUACAGCGCUGCGUGUGGCCGGCUCCAGCCCGCCGGCCUUUAGAGAGGGCGGCAUCAAGCAGGCGGACACCUCGCGGCCUCGGAGCAACCGGGCCCCCAUCGAGAGUACAAGUUAGAGCAUGGAUACAGUAAAGCACGUCGCCCCCGACGCCCGGGACAGGCAUGGCUAUAGUGCUCCGUACAGGCAGAGAUCUCCGCACGAUGGGGCACUGUACCAGGUCUCCCCUGACGUCGCUCCGAGCAGGCGGAGUCCUGUUCCCCACGAAGGCCUGUCGGUACGGCCUGCCGGCGGCGGGCCCUAUCGGGCAGAGACUUCGUAGAAGACGGCGAAAGCCCAAUCAGUUGGACUCAGGAAGGGCCGGCCUCCAGCAGACAGUCGUCCCUUGCCCCUAGGCAAGCAUGCCAUUAAACUGAUGAGACCAGGUGUGGCUACAGUGAUCUCCCACCAGGCAGCGGGACUGUAGCCACGCUGAAGAUGACCAAGCCCUCGUCACUGACGGCAUGGCUAUAGUAAGAAGCCACCAACCAGACGGUGGGGCCCACCAGGCGGUGGGCCCCAGCGGUCGGCGGAGAAGCCGGAGGCUGGAGAUACUGCAGCCGGGCCUAGCACCCAGACGAAUUACCAUUGUACCCCUGGGGGGUAGGCCUAUAUAAACCCCCCAGGGAACCCAUGCAAAGGGUUCCAACUCUGAUAGAACUAGCCAGUUACCUAGAGCAGGGAAGAGCUAGCCUUGCCUUCUCCUACCUCUAGACACAGCUCAAGGAGCAACUUGUAUCACUAGUGCCAUAGUGAUCAUGCGGAGACCCCACAGAGCGGGAGUAGCGUAUUAUCUCCAUGGAGAGCCCCUAACCUGGGAAAAGUUCGUCGGCGUAUGUGUCUACGCCUUAUCCCGCUUCCAGGCACCGGCAAUGUUCUACUCGCUCCCACCAUGAUAAGCCAUCCGUUGGCAUAUGUCGCACCCAACCCCCGACUGUUUAGUUCUUUAGUUAGAAGCUCAAUCCUCUCCUUAUCAUUGUCAUUUGUUUUAUCUUGAUUAACAUGAUUAAUUGACGUUUCAUCAUAGCAUUCAUCACUAGAGUUGUCAACAAGUAAAUCAUCAUCACCUAACAAGUCAUCAUCAUCACUAUAGAAAUCAACAUAUUCGGGGUGUGAUACCUUUGGGCCUUUAGCCAUGAAGCAUCUUCCAAGUCCUUCAUUUGGUGAAUCAAAUAUGUCAUAGGAGUUGGUUGACACAAGUGCUAGACUGGCAACACCUUCAUCUUGAGUAUGUUCGGAGUCGGAGUGAUAGCUUCUCUCGGAGUGAUUGUCGGAGUCGGAGCAGGAUGCCCAUUCACCAACAUGAGCUUGAUGUCUUCGUUUUGUGUAGCUCCUUGAUGACUUGUCCUUCCUUUCCGAAUCCUUGCUUCUUCGGGGUGUUCUUCGUUCAUAACAAUCAUCUCUACUCCUCUCUCUUGGUGGUGAUUCUUCUCUUCUACUUCUUCUCUUAGGUAAUUCUUCUCUUCUCUUGUAGGGAGCCGUACACUCAUUGGAAUAGUGUCCGGGUCUUCCACAAUUGUAGCAAUUACGCUCUCGACUAGAAGAUCUUUUGUCAUUGUAGGAACUUGACUUGGAUCUUCUUUCCUUGCUUCUACUCUUGUAGAACUUGUUGAAGUUCUUCACCAUUAGGCUCAAUUCUUCAUUGAAGGUUUGUUUCUCACUUGAUGAUGUGGGAGCGUCACAUGAGGCUUUGUAAGCACCACUUGACUUGUUGUGGAGCUCCUCCUUAUCCUUGAGUGACAUCUCAUGAGCAACAAUUCUUCCAAUGACCUCCGUUGGCUUGAGAUUCUUGUAAUUGGGCAUCAUUUGGAUCAAUGUGCACAAGGUAUCAUAGUUUCCAUCCAAGGCUCUUAGGAUCUUCUUGAUGAUGAAUUUGUCAGUAUCUCUUCACUUCCGAAGCCGGCGAUCUCAUUUGUAAUGAGAGCAAGCCUAGAGUACAUUUCAGCGACGCCUUCACCAUCCUUCAUCUUGAACUUGUCAAGUUGAAUUUGAAGCACAUCCAACUUGGAUUACUUGACGGAGUCGGUACCUUCGUGCAUAUCAAUCAAAGUGUCCCAAAUUUCCUUUGCAUUCUCAAGACGACUGAUUUUGUUGAAUUCUUCGGGGCACAAUCCGUUGAAGAGGAUGUCGCAAGCUUGAGCGUUGUAUUGCAGCAUCUUCAACUCUUCCGCGCUAGCUUCACGGUUCGGUUCUCUCCCAUCAAAGAAUUCACCUUGCAAGCCAAUACACACAAUAGCCCAAACGGCGGGGUUAUGUCCAAGAAUAUGCAUUUUCAUCUUAUGCUUCCAACUAGCAAAAUUAGUACCAUCAAAGUAAGGACCUCUACGGUGAUAGUUUCCCUCGCUAGACGCCAUACUCUCCUAGGUUGUGAAACCAAGGCUAUGAUUACCAAAAGCUAUGGAAAUCAAAGCAAAUGGAGACCAAAGCUCUGAUACCACUUGUAGGAUCGAAAGUAUGUCUAGAGGGGGGGGUGAUUAGACUACUUGACCAAAUAAAAACUUAUCCUUUUCCCAAUUUUAGUUCUUGGCAGAUUUUAGCAACUACGGACAAGUCAAGCAAUCUUAACACAAUUCAAGCAAGCAUGCAAAGAGUAUAUGAGCAGCGGAAAGUAAAGCAUGCAACUUGCAAGAAUGUAAAGGGAAGGGUUUGGAGAGUGCAAACGCAAUAGGAGACACGGAUGUUUUUGUCGUGGUUCCGAUAGGUGGUGCUAUCGUACAUCCACGUUGAUGGAGACUUCAACCCAUGAAGGGUAACGGUUGCGCGAGUCCACGGAGGGCUCCACCCACGAAGGGUCCACGAAGAAGCAACCUUGUCUAUCCCACCAUGGUCGUCGCCCACGAAGGACAUGCCUCACUAGCGGUAGAUCUUCACAAAGUAGGUGAUCUCCUUGCCCGUACAAACUCCUUGGUUCAACUCCACAAUCUUGUCAGAGGCUCACAAGUGACACCUAGCCAAUCUAGGAGACACCACUCUCCAAGAAGUAACAAACGGUGUGUUGAUGAUGAACUCCUUGCUCUUGUGCUUCAAAUGAUAGUCUCCCCAACACUCAACUCUCUCUCAUAGGAUUUUGAUUUGGUGGAAAGAAGAUUUGAGUGGAAAGCUACUUGGGGAAGGCUAGAGAUCAAGAUUCAUAUGGUAGGAAUGGAAUAUCUUGGCCUCAACACAAGUGUAGGUGGUUCUCUCUCAGAAAAUGUAAGUUGGAAGUGUAGGUUCAUUCUGAUGGCUCUCUCCACGAAUGAAGAGGAGGUGGAGGGGUAUAUAUAGCCUCCACACAAAAUCUAAUCGUUACACACAACUUGCCAAUCUCGGUGGGACCGAAUUGAGAAACUCGGUCGGACCGAUUCACCAAAUCUAGUGACCGUUAGGAUUUUUGGUGGGACCGACAUGCAACUCGGUAGGACCGAUAUGGUUAGGGUUAGGUCAUAACGUAAUCUCGGUGAGACCAAUUACACAAACUCGGUGGGACCGAUUUUGGUAAUAAGGUAAACUCGGUGGAACCGAUUCGCUCAUCUCGGUUGGACCAAAAUGUUACGAAAGGAAAACAGAGAGUUUACGUUGCAAUCUCGGUGGGACCGAUCACUCAUCCCGGUGGUACCGAAACAUUACGAAGGGAAACAGAGAGAUUACAAUCCCAUUUCGGUGAGACCGAGAUCCCUAUCGGUGAGACCGAUUUGCCUAGGGUUUGUGGCAGUGGCUAUGACAUCUGAACUCGGUGGCGCCGGAUGGAAAGAAUCGGUGGGGCCGAGUUUGACUUUUGGUUUAGGUCAUAUAUGGAUGUGAGAACGUAGUUGAGGGCUUUGGAGCAUAUCACUAAGCAUUUUGAGCAAGAACCUCAUUAAGCAACACCUCAUCCCUCCUUGAUAGUAUUGGCUUUUCCUAUAGACUCAAUGUGUUGGAUCACUAAAAUAGAAAAUGUAGAGUCUUGAGCUUUGAGCUUUGUAACGCCCCGGAUUCGAUGCGCCAGGUGUCUUCCAGUUAUUCGCCGUUGUUGCCAUGUCAUUUUCUUGCAUCUUGCAUUUUAUCAUGUCAUCAUGUGCAUCUCAUUUUGCAUACAUGUACGUCUCAUGCAUCCGAGCAUUUUCCCCGUCGUCCGUUUUGCGAUCCGGCACUCCUAUGUCCUCCGGCGUCCCCCUUUUGUCUCUCGUUGUGAGAGGGUAUUAAACGUUCUCGGAAUGGACCGAGUCUUGUCAAGCGGCCUUGGUACACCACCGGUAGACCGCCUGUCAAGUUUCGUGCCAUUUGGAGUACGUUUGAUACUCCAACGGUUAACCGGGUAACCGUCAAAGCCCUCUUUAUGUUGCAGCCCAACACCCCUCCAAAGUGGCCCAUAACCCAUCCAAACCCCCUCCAUCCAUGCGGUCGUUCGAUCACGAUCGCGUGGCCGAAAACCGCACCUCAUUUAGACUCUCCUAGCUCUCUCUACCUAUUUAAACACCCCCUCCCUCGAAAUUCGCGGAUGAAACCACCCCAAACCCUAAAUCUUCCCCUCUGCGCUGCGCCGGACAUUUCCAACCCCAGCCGGACGCGUUCGCCGCCGCGCCCGAGCCAACAUGUGGUGCUCCCCGCCAACAGCCGNNNNNNNNNNNNNNNNNNNNNNNNNNNNNNNNNNNNNNNNNNNNNNNNNNNNNNNNNNNNNNNNNNNNNNNNNNNNNNNNNNNNNNNNNNNNNNNNNNNNNNNNNNNNNNNNNNNNNNNNNNNNNNNNNNNNNNNNNNNNNNNNNNNNNNNNNNNNNNNNNNNNNNNNNNNNNNNNNNNNNNNNNNNNNNNNNNNNNNNNNNNNNNNNNNNNNNNNNNNNNNNNNNNNNNNNNNNNNNNNNNNNNNNNNNNNNNNNNNNNNNNNNNNNNNNNNNNNNNNNNNNNNNNNNNNNNNNNNNNNNNNNNNNNNNNNNNNNNNNNNNNNNNNNNNNNNNNNNNNNNNNNNNNNNNNNNNNNNNNNNNNNNNNNNNNNNNNNNNNNNNNNNNNNNNNNNNNNNNNNNNNNNNNNNNNNNNNNNNNNNNNNNNNNNNNNNNNNNNNNNNNNNNNNNNNNNNNNNNNNNNNNNNNNNNNNNGCGUCGCCCGCGACCCGCGCCGCGCCUCGCCUCCUCUCCGCCUCUCGUCGGCCGUCCAGCCCCGCGGCUUCGCCGCCGUCCCGUCGCGGUUUCACCUCUCCACGCCAGAGUCCGGCCAGAUCCAGGGAGCCCGCGCCCGGAGCCGCCAUUUCCGGACCCCAUCGCUCCCUCGUCGUCUCCGACCACGCCCCGUCGCCGAAACCACCGUCCCCGAGCUCGCUGGAGCUCCCCGUCGCCGGAUCCGGAGAAGGUGGACGAGAUCCACCACUCCCUCGAUCCAAACGCCCGCGCCCGAUCCGAAUCUCUCCGUCCCGCACGACCUCGUCCAGUUUCAGAGGUUGAAAUUCCACCAAGUCCCUGUAAUUUUUGCAUUCUGGUGAUCUGUUUAGCAUGCCAUAACUUCAUGUGUGCUGCUCCGUUUUGCAUGCAUGAUAUGUCAAAAUGUUCAUUGAGAGAUGCUAUUCAUUUCACUCCAUUAUGUCAUGCUUGUUUGAGAUCAUCUUGUUGCCCGAAUCAUGGUUGCAAGAGUGCUAUAUGAUGUUAACUGCUGUCUGUUAACAGAACUUGAUGAGUUGUCUUUUUCGUUGCAUUUUGUGUGUGCAUCCUAUGAGCAUGAGCUCUACAUGUGUUUUGAACUACAUCAUACAAUCUUCACAGUGGUGCAAUCCAUGUAUUUUUGUGAAUCUUGUAGUGAGUGAAUCGAGCUUGUUAAGUAGGGUACUUAUUGUUGCUAUUUUGCUAGGCUGAAUCUGCUACAUCAUGAUGUUAUGUAAACCUGCUGCUACAAGUCAUUCUAUGCAUAAUAUGGAGAUGUCCACUAAGGAUGUUUUGUUAUACAUGUCAUUCUCUAUCCAUCCAUGCCCUAGUUGCAUUUAUAGCCUACUGUAGCUUGUUGUAAUCUUACUCUCAAAUUGCUAUAUAAUGUUGUUGUCAGCCUAUUAACAUUAAGAUCAGUUUUUCCAUGUGAUUUGCUAGUGAUCCAUGAACCCUAUUUACUUGAUCGUGCCAUGCUUAGCUUCAUUAACAUGUUUUCUUACUGUUGGUUGCCUUGCCGUGCCAUGUAUUUCUCUGUGGUGAGUGGUUCAAGCUCACCAACAUGACUAAUUGUUUUUCCUGCCAUGUAUGAAUCUGUCAUAUAACUUGCUAUGUUUACAUGGGUGCCAUCAUAUCUUCUGAUCUUUUUUGGCUCAUGGUCACUAAAGGACUUUUGUUCUAUGCAUUUAACAGUACCAUGCCAUGCCUUAAGUUGCCAUGUUAAGUUCUUGUAGCAUGUUGUUUGAUAGCUCUAAACAUUGCAACCUGAUGUUAUUUCUACAAAGUGUGAAACUGAUAUUAUUUGCAAUCUUGCCAUGCGUUUUUGAGCAUGUUCUAGUGAUUUCUGGAGAUAACUCAGUGUUCAUGUGUUGUUAUGAUUUACAUGUACAUCACGUCCAUGUCUUUUGUUCUUAUGUUGAGGUGUUGUAGCAUAUUGUUUUGAUGCUUGCAAUAUGCCUAGUUGCUGUUUUGGACAGAUUGUUGCUAUAACUUGUUUCAUGUGUGUGUUGAACCGUUGCUCUGUUUUGAGUGUGCUCUAUAUGAAACUUGCUUGAUGUUGCAUGUAGUUUCAUAUUAUCAUGUUGCAUCCUUUUUUUGAGGUGUUUGCUUAAUGUUUGGAUGCAUUUAGCAUCAAUACCAUGUUUAACUUGUUUUGCUCAUAUCUUAUAGGCCGUAGCUCCGAACUAAAUGAACUUUAUAUGUAACUUGACUAGAAUUUCGUGUAGAUCAUCUUGGUGCAUCUUAACUUGAUGUUUAACAACUUGAACAUAAGGUUUAUUCAGAUCUGGACCAAUUUCGAAAUUUGCAUAUGAGGACUUACCAGAAUUGUUAUAUGUUGUUUCCGGCCUCAUUUAAACUUGCUUUGAUGUGUUGCUCUUGUAUGCAUCAUCUCUUGCCAUGAGUAGCUUAAUGUAGCUUUGCCAUGCAUCAUGCUUGUUGUCCAUCAUGUCUUGUCUAUGUGUGGUGUGUUUACCAUGUUGUGUGCUUCUUCUCGAUAGUUCCCGUUUUCGUUGCGAUCGUGAGGAUUCGUUCGUCUACGCUUGGUUCGUCUUCGUGGCUUCAUCUUCUUCAUGGACUCGUUCUUCUUCCUAGAGGUAUUUUAGGCAAGAUGACCGUCACCUUGGAUCUCACUACUAUCAUUGCUAUGCUAGUUGCUUCGUUCUAUCGCUAUACUGCGCUACGUAUCACAUGUUUAUCAAGCCUCCCAAAUUGCCAUGUCAGCCUCUAACCUUUGUCACCUUCCUAGCAAACCGUUGCUUAGCUAUGUUACCGCUUUUGCUCAGCCUCUCUUAUAGCGUUGUUAGUUGCAGGUGAAGUUGAAGAUUGCUCCAUGAUGGACAGGAUUAUGUUGGGAUAUCACAAUAUCUCUUGUUUAAUUAAUGCAUCUAUAUACUUGGUAAAGGGUGGAAGGCUCGGCCUUAUGCCUGGUGUUUUGUUCCACUCUUGCCGCCCUAGUUUCCGUCAUACCGAUGUUAUGUUCCCAGAUUUUGCGUUCCUUACGCGGUUGGGUGAUUUAUGGGACCCCCUUGACAGUUCGCUUUGAAUAAAACUCCUCCAGCAAGGCCCAACCUUGGUUUUACCAUUUGCCUCACCUAGCCCUUUUUCCCUUGGGUUUCCGGAGCCCGAGGGUCAUCUUUAUUUUAGCCCCCCAGGCCAAUGCUUGUCUAAGUGUUGGUCCAAACCGAGCGAUGUCCGGCGCCCCCUGGGCAACCAGGGUCUAUGCCAACCCGACGUCUGGCUCAUCCGGUGUGCCCUGAGAACGAGAUAUGUGCAGCUCCUAUCGGGAUUUGUCGGCACAGCGGGUGGUCUUGCUGGUCUUGUUUUAUCAUUGUCAAAAUGUCUUGUAAACCGGGAUUCCGAGUCUGAUCGGGUCUUCCUGGGAGAAGGUAUAUCCUUUGUUGAUCGCGAGAGCUUAUCAUGGGCUAAGUUGGGACACCCCUGCAGGGUAUAAACUUUCGGAAGCCGUGCCCGCGGUUAUGGGCAGAUGGGAAUUUGUUAAUGUCCGGUUGUAGAUAACUUGACACCAAAUACGAAUUAAAACGCAUCAACCGCGUGUGUAGCCGUGAUGGUCUCUUUUCGGCGGAGUCCGGGAAGUGAACACGGUCUUUGGGUUAUGUUUGAUGUAAGUAGGAGUUCAGGAUCACUUCUUGAUCAUUGUUAGCUUCACGAUCGUUCCUUUGCUUCUCUUCUCGCUCUUAUUUGCGUAUGUUAGCCACCAUAUCAUGCUUAGUCGCUGCUGCAACCUCACCACUUUACCCCUUCCUUUCCCAUUAAGCUUUGCUAGUCUUGAUACCCAUGGUAAUGGGAUUGCUGAGUCCUCGUGGCUCACAGAUUACUACAACAACAGUUGCAUGUACAGGUUAUGCGAUGAUCAUGACGCGAGAGCGAUGUUUGCUUGUUUUGGAGUUCGUCUUCUGCUUCUUCUUCGAUCAGGGGAUAGGUUCCAGGUCGGGAGCCUGGGCUAGCAGGGUGGAUGUCGUUUGUGUUUCAUCUGUAGUCGGAUGAUGCUAUUAUGUAUUGUGAUGUUGUAUUCGUGUGGCAUUCUAUGCCUUUUGUAUGUAUCCCCAUCUAUUAUGUAUUGUUAAUGUAAUGAUAUCCACCUUGCAAAAGCGUUUCAAUAUGCGGUUCUAUCCUUGGUGGGACCUUCGAGUCUCUUUAGGAUAGUAUCGCAUAUUGGGCGUGACAAGCUUGAGCCAAUCCUUUUGUCCUUAGCAUUUUGAGGGGUCCACUUUUCUCAUCCAUGCCAUGCCAUUCAUUUAGCUUUCCUGAAAUAUUUAUCUUGAAAUAGCAUUAGCUCAAUGAGCUAUAUGUUGUUAGGAAUUACCAAAACCACCUAGGGAUAGUUGCACUUUCACAAAGCUAUCGCAUGGACUGGAAUUUAAAUGUUCAUACAUCUCACUUCUACAGAGAGCCACAUCAACACAAAAUAAUCACAAUAGGUAAUCAGGAUAUCACAAGAAACUAACUGACAGAAAAUUCUCAUACAUUGAAAUAGUAAAACAUAUUACAACUCCACACUAAAUUUCAACACAUAAUUCACAAGAAGUAAUCUGAAGUUUUACAAACCACUAGCUGAUGAACAUGGCACAAAAUAUUGAACUAGUACAAAAUAUAGUUGAUCAAGUCUCCACAGUAACUGUUCACAAAAUUACACAACGAGAGAGAUGCAGUUUAACGGUAGUAGAGGUUCAGCAAGGAGAGAAGGUGCAGCAGCAGUGAGAGAGCAUCAAUUGUUUUGGGGAAAGGUAGUAGCAGCCAGCAGGGAUGUGGGAGAGGAGCAGCAGAGAGGUAGAGAGCAGCAGCAGCGGCAGCAUUGAGAUGGAGCAGCGAGGGUUGAGAGAAGGGAAGCAGUAGUUGGCAAGUGGAGGUUGAGAUUCAGAGAAGGCGGAGAGCAUGCAGGAAAGUAUGAGUGAAGAAGAGAAGUGGAGGAGCAGCCAGGGGGCGCUGGAGAAGAAAGAAGUAGCGGGCUAGGUUUGAGGGCGAGCACCAGCCGGUUGAAGGAGGAGGAAUAGCAGCGGUGAGAAAAGAGCAGCAGCAGUAGGGAGAUGGCUGUAGGCGCAGCGGCGGCGGCUGAGAUUGAUGUAUGUUGCGGUGGAUGGGGUGUUGGAGGCCGCUAGUGCUGUGAACAAAGGGGUAAGGUAGGAUGGCUGGGACGCGCACCACCACGACGGCCUAGCCAUGGCGUCGGCCGGAGGUGGAGAAGGAGGGUGAGGGAAAGAGAGAAGUGCCAGGCCCGAUUUGGGAAUGGAGGCUGCUAGGGAUUUUGAUCCCCUCUUCACAUCUGCACCUUUGCAUUUUGGCCCUCCUAAUUCUCUUCUUUUGCCUCAAGUAGAUCCCCAUUCUUUUUUAGCAAUCCCCCCUGGGUCUUUAAUUCUUCAUAAUCAGUCCCUCCUCUUAUUAUUUCCCUUAGUCUCAUAGUCGGAAUCAUGAAGUUUAUAGUGCCUUUGCGCACUUUUCUGCAAAAGAAACAAAUGACUAGUAAAUGUUCCCUUUUUAUGAUUAUCAUGCAAACAGUCAAUCAAACAUAGCAAGAAUGGAUGAAUAGAUCACAAUAGAUGGUAUAUUUGAGUGCGAAUUAUAUAUGUGAAAUAUACUUAUCAAGUUCCCGCACACUUAAAUCUUUGCUUGUCCUCAAGCAAAGGAAUAUGACAAAGGCAAGAUAGUGAAUAGUAAACUGAUAAAGAAUGUCCUAGUAAAAUAGAUCUCCGAAUGAUGCAUGCUUUGGACUUAGCUAGUGAAAAUUAAUGGUUAGGAGUGCUUUAAAGCGGCAGGAUACUAGUAGACUUGACCAUUUUAAACUUUUAUAAAGAUAAAAGAAUAUCAGCCAGUUUAAAUGUGGAUUGUGCCACAAGGUUCCUAAAGAGAGCAUGAUCCCGAGAGACACCUAUCACUAGGAACACAACAUUGUGGUAGAACCACUUAUUGGAUUUGAAGGAAGCAACAAAGAUAAUAUUUUACUGGUCUCACCAAAGGAACAUACCACCGAUCCCACGGACAGGCCGUCGUGCUGGUGCGCCUUCCAAAAUGAUCGGGUGUAAGUACAGUGGGGUAUUUCGCCCAAAUCUGCAAGUGUGUCAUGUUCUCCAUAGGGACUAGGCACAUCAGCGUCUAUGCUCAGUUAAAUCUAGAUAAUACAAUUCAAAUGAUGAUUGAGGGAAAUAAACCUAAACUAUCAUAUUUCAUAAAAAACGUCGACAAAGAAGAUGCAAACAAGCAUAGGGGGGAUAAGAAUGCAAUCACUGUAUUUUUGGUAUUUUUUUAGGCUUGAGAAAUUAGAAACUAACAUAAAGGGAAACGACAGGACAUGAACACAUAUAGCAUAAUAGAUAUGUUUCGCAUUACAAACAUAUUUGUCACAGGGACAAAGCUAUCACAUGGAAUGGACUUUAAAUGUUCAUACAUCUCACUUCUACAGAGAGCCACAUCAACACAAAAUAAUCACAAUAUGUAAUCAGGAUAUCACAGGAAACUAACUGACAGAAAAUUCUCAUACAUUGAAAUAGUAAAACAGAUUACAACUCCACACUAAAUUUCAACACAUAAUUCACGAGAAGUAAUCUGAAGUUUUACAAACCACUAGCUGAUGAACAUGGCAUAAAAUAUUGAACUAGUACAAAAUAUAGUUGAUCACGUCUCCACAGUAACUGUUCACAAAAUUACACAAUGAGAGAGAUGCAGUUUAACAGUAGCAGAGGUUCAGCAAGGAGAGAAGGUGCAGCAGCAGUGAGAGAGCAUCAGUUCUUUUGGGGAAAGGUAGUAGCAGCCAGCAGGGAUGUGGGAGAGGAGCAGCAGAGAGGUAGAGAGCAACAGCGGUGGGAGCAUUGAGAUAGGAGCAGCGAGGGUUGAGAGAAGGGAAGUAGCAGUUGGCAAGUGGAGGUUGAGAUUCAGAGAAGGCAGAGAGCAUGCAGCAAAGUUUGGGUGAAGAAGAGAGGUGGAGGAGCAGCAAGGGGGCGCUGGAGAAGAAAGAAGCAGAAGUCUAGGUUUGAGGGCGGGCACCAGCAGGUUGAAGGAGGAGGAAUAGCAGCGGUGAGAAAAGAGCAGCAGCAGUAGGGAGAUGGCUGUAGGCGCGGCGGCGGCGGCUGAGAUUGAUGUAUGUUGUGGUGGACGGGGUGUUGGAGGCCGCUGGUGCUGUGGACGGAGGGGUAAGGUAGGGUGGCUGGGACGCGCACCACCACGACGGCCUGGCCAUGGCGUCGGCCGGAGGUGGAGAAGGAGGGUGAGGGAAAGAGAGAAGUGCCAGGCCCGAUUUGGGAAUGGAGGCUGCUAGGGAUUUUGAUCCCCUCUUCACAUCUGCACCUUUGCAUUUUGGCCCUCCUAAUUCUCUUCUUUUGCCUCAAGUAGAUCCCCAUUCUUUUUUAGCAAUCCCCCCUGGGUCUUUAAUUCUUCAUAAUCAGUCCCUCCUCUUAUUAUUUCCCUUAGUCUCAUAGUCGGAAUCAUGAAGUUUAUAGUGCCUUUGCGCACUUUUCUGCAAAAGAAACAAAUGACUAGUAAAUGUUCCCUUUUUAUGAUUAUCAUGCAAACAGUCAAUCAAACAUAGCAAGAAUGGAUGAAUAGAUCACAAUAGAUGGUAUAUUUGAGUGCGAAUUAUAUAUGUGAAAUAUACUUAUCAAGUUCCCGCACACUUAAAUCUUUGCUUGUCCUCAAGCAAAGGAAUAUGACAAAGGCAAGAUAGUGAAUAGUAAACUGAUAAAGAAUGUCCUAGUAAAAUAGAUCUCCGAAUGAUGCAUGCUUUGGACUUAGCUAGUGAAAAUUAAUGGUUAGGAGUGCUUUAAAGCGGCAGGAUACUAGUAGACUUGACCAUUUUAAACUUUUAUAAAGAUAAAAGAAUAUCAGCCAGUUUAAAUGUGGAUUGUGCCACAAGGUUCCUAAAGAGAGCAUGAUCCCGAGAGACACCUAUCACUAGGAACACAACAUUGUGGUAGAACCACUUAUUGGAUUUGAAGGAAGCAACAAAGAUAAUAUUUUACUGGUCUCACCAAAGGAACAUACCACCGAUCCCACGGACAGGCCGUCGUGCUGGUGCGCCUUCCAAAAUGAUCGGGUGUAAGUACAGUGGGGUAUUUCGCCCAAAUCUGCAAGUGUGUCAUGUUCUCCAUAGGGACUAGGCACAUCAGCGUCUAUGCUCAGUUAAAUCUAGAUAAUACAAUUCAAAUGAUGAUUGAGGGAAAUAAACCUAAACUAUCAUAUUUCAUAAAAAACGUCGACAAAGAAGAUGCAAACAAGCAUAGGGGGGAUAAGAAUGCAAUCACUGUAUUUUUGGUAUUUUUUUAGGCUUGAGAAAUUAGAAACUAACAUAAAGGGAAACGACAGGACAUGAACACAUAUAGCAUAAUAGAUAUGUUUCGCAUUACAAACAUAUUUGUCACAGGGACAAAGCUAUCACAUGGAAUGGACUUUAAAUGUUCAUACAUCUCACUUCUACAGAGAGCCACAUCAACACAAAAUAAUCACAAUAUGUAAUCAGGAUAUCACAGGAAACUAACUGACAGAAAAUUCUCAUACAUUGAAAUAGUAAAACAGAUUACAACUCCACACUAAAGUUCAACACAUAAUUCACGAGAAGUAAUCUGAAGUUUUACAAACCACUAGCUGAUUAACAGGGCAUAAAAUAUUGAACUAGUACAAAAUAUAGUUGAUCACGUCUCCACAGUAACUGUUCACAAAAUUACACAAUGAGAGAGAUGCAGUUUAACAGUAGCAGAGGUUCAGCAAGGAGAGAAGGUGCAGCAGCAGUGAGAGAGCAGCAGUUCUUUUGGGGAAAGGUAGUAGCAGCUAGCAGGGAUGUGGGAGAGGAGCAGCAGAGAGGUAGAGAGCAACAGCGGUGGGAGCGUUGAGAUAGGAGCAGCGAGGGUUGAGAGAAGGGAAGUAGCAGUUGGCAAGUGGAGGUUGAGAUUCAGAGAAGGCAGAGAGCAUGCAGCAAAGUUUGGGUGAAGAAGAGAGGUGGAGGAGCAGCAAGGGGGCGCUGGAGAAGAAAGAAGCAGAAGUCUAGGUUUGAGGGCGGGCACCAGCAGGUUGAAGGAGGAGGAAUAGCAGUGGUGAGAAAAGAGCAGCAGCAGUAGGGAGAUGGCUGUAGGCGCGGCGGCGGCGGCUGGGAUGGAUGUAUGUUGUGGUGGACGGGGUGUUGGAGGCUGCUGGUGCUGUGGACGGAGGGGUAAGGUAGGAUGGCUGGGAGGCGCCCCACCACGAUGGCCUGGCCGUGGCGGCGGCUGGCGGUGGAGAAGGAGGGUGAGGAAAAGAGAGAAGUGCCAGGCCCGAUUUGGGAAUGGAGGCUGCUAGGGAUUUUGAUCCCCUCUUC